UGGGAGCCACCGAUGUGAAGAUCGUCGGGGUGUCCGCUGAUGAUAACGCCAUGGAGGCGUUCAUGAGUGCCGGUGCUGAUGAAUUUGUGCCCAAACCAAUGAGGAUUGAGGUUCAGGAGGUCAUCAGCAAGAAGAAUAAUUAGUGACGCUUGCUCGAUCCAGCCAUGGAGGAAUAAAUUAAGCUAGCUCAUAUACUAUGAAUGUUAUUUUUUGCAAGGGAUAUACCAUGAAUGUUUGAUAGCUUUAAUUUGCUUUGCAUUAUAUUAUUGUCGUGUUGUCAUUUUAGUUUCAAGGUCAUGUUAAAGGCCGGGGUUGAUAAGCAAAAAUGAACAAGCAGAGGGGCUACCAGUAAUGAGAUAGUUGAAAUCAAUGUAAUGUGUAACCUUUUGAAUUUAAUCUAUUACUUCUCGCUAAUUUGUGCUUCAGGGUGUGCGCCAUGUGCAAGUGUUCCAGAGGCAAGUUAUUUGACACACAAUUAAUUUGAUAAUUGUUUCACGGAUUGGAUUUCUCUUGUUAGCAUGGUACGUCUAACUAACGCCACCUGUGAAGCUAAGCAUACCGCAUGCGUGCACGUAAUUUCUUUCUAGAAACAUGAAAUGAGCCAUGCAUAUAUAUAUAUUUCAACUGAUCCAAAAGUCUUUGCCUUCUCGAGCUUCCAUCUGGCAUACGCCUCAUGCUCCUCCAAGUCUAUCUGCUCUCUCUCAAGUUGUAACUUGUUGGUCACCCUCUCCCGGCUCCAAUCUAUCCUCUCUUUUUCACAUCCAAGAAGAGCUUGUACAUCUCCUCCUCCUUCUCCUCCAUGAUGGCAGACACUUUGCUCGACACAACGUCACGCAAGACCCUGCUUUUAUCCCACUUGUUUCCCAUCACUUGGUGGUCCCUCUUUGGCACGGUGGCUUGUCCCUCCUCUCCUCCACCUUCCUCAUCUUCGUCAUCCAAUCCAAUGGAUUGGUGGGAGCUUGAGCCAUUGUUUUUUCUUCAACUUUUUGCUGUCGUUCUUGAGGUCAUAGAUGAAUUUUUGCCAGUUUGGUUUCCCAUUCAAUUUCAACCAACAAUGGCACAUAGUGAAUGACUUCCCCUUGAUUUGUUGGUACAAAACCUCAUCUAGCAAACAAGAAUCACUCAUGAGAAUGCAGCAAAAAAAGCUAGCAUAAUGAUGUUAAAACGAAGCAAGUCACCUUACACGACUCUUGAUUCCAAUGCCACUUUGUUUCCGGCUAACCACGGAAGAAUAGUGGCCGCAAAACUUGUUCACACUCUCUUGGAUGAUCGACCAUCUAUGUUGGAGAGAGGUCUCAUUGCAGGUGGUAUGGUUAGGGAUCGACUCCACAUAUUCCUCGUGUUGAUGGUAAUCUUGUGAAUCUUUCCCCAAUACUUAUUUCCCUUUUGCUUGGUCCCAUAUAUAGGGUGUUCAUACUUGUGGCCAACCAAGCUUCACACAACAAAACAUCUCAUGAAUUGAGAACGUCACACGUAUUCCUUGAACAUCUUUUUUUGUUUAGAGUGGUUGGCGUUUGCCUGACAUCAUACAUAGAAGAGGUAUCACCCAAGUCAUAAUGCAUAUGAUAUUGACCGUCAUUGAUCAUGUAUGUCAUGAUAACCUCCUAAAAUGGUCAUGAUCACAAAUAAACUAACACUACUAGAGAAAAAGCCUAGCAGCAGCGCGGGUUUUAGGCCUAUCAGUAGCGCUGGGCGAUGCGCUACUGAUAAGGCGCUACAGCUAACGUAUAGCAGUAGCGUGCCUCCGACCACGCUACUGCUAAAUCGACUUAGUAGUAGCGACUUCCCAGAGGAGCGCUACUGGUAAUUAGUAGUAGCGCUUCUCCCUGCCCGCGUUACAACUAUUAUUUCGUAUUUUAUUUCUUUUUUAUUUCAUGUUGUAUUUGUACACCUUUACACAAGUUUUCAUACAACAGGAAUUUAGAAAUUGUUUUUACAUCAUAAUGAGUUAUUACAUCACGGGGUGAAAGAACCAUGGACUAGUUUCAAGUGGAUGGACAUCCACUUGAAACUAAUCUGCGAUUCUUUCACCCGAUGAUAUAAUAAAUAUCAUCAUCAUCAUCAUCAUAUCAUUAACAACUUAUCAUCAUAAUACAUCAUUGUCAUAUAACACCUCCUCAAGAUCAUCGUUUUCAUCAAUGAGACAUCACAUAGCAAAUUGGUCACUAGGCGUAAUCACAAGUACUCCUCAUCAUCAACUCUAACACAUUGUAUCACAUAAUAAACAUAUUGUACCUCAUAGGACCUAGUACAUUCUCUUAGGACCUACUGUAAGUGCAUCUAGUGCCACCCCUAGUUGGUUUUGGAGUAUUGACGACAAACCUAGUUGAGGGACUAAUGUGUUUGUGAGAAUUGCAGGAUAACACAGGUAGAAGUCCCUCAUUGAUUCGGUUUUACUACCAGAGAUGACCCCUAAAAAUGUAUGAAGACAUUGAAGUCAAAGGUGGUAUAUGAAGAUAUUCACAUUGAAGACUAUGACAAGAGAAGACACGAUAUGAAGCCUAUGGAGCUCGAAGACUUAGAUCUUUCGUAGUUCUUUUUCUUUUAUGUUGAGUCAUAGGAACCACCGUACUGUUAAGUGGGGUCCAGGAGAACCAGUCAGAAUGACUGAAGUGAUGCCUAAACCAAAAACCUAUGUCUUCGAGUGAAGACAAUGAGAGCGAAUCUUGUCCAGAGUCGGACAAGUCAGCUUUGCUUGUAGCCCAAGUAAAGUUGCCAUGAGAGUUUGAAAUCUGACCGUUGAGACACGUGUCAGUUCCUUAGUGACCCAGGGUCAUUUUAGACAAAUCAGGUCGGGUUGCCAAGUGGCUAUAAAUAGCCCACCCCCUACAAUCAUAAACGGUUGGCUGCUCAGAUUGAGAGUACGACUUUUGUCGUUUGAGAGCAACCCACCUCGAAGCCUUCGAGAGAGAAUUCCUUGCGAGGAUAAAGCCCUAACCACCAGAGCCAGAGAGAAUUGGGCAUCACUAAAGUCUUCUUGUCUGUGUGAUCUGAAGACUUAUUACACUUGAGGACUGUGCAUCCUCCAGACGGUUAGGCGUCGCGUUCAGAGCAUCCAAGAGACAUUGUGGAUUGCCAGUGAACGAAGUCUGUAAAGGUUUGGGAGUCUACCUUGAAGACUUACCAGAGUGAUUGGGCGAGGACUAUGUGACCUUAGCUCAAGGAGAAUACGGUGAGGACUUGGUGUCCUGAGCUGUGUGUUCAGGACUGGGUGUCCGGGACCGUGUGUCCUAAGAUUUAAAUACCUAGCCGCUCCAACCAGACGUACAGUUGUCACAGCAACUGGAACUGGUCCAACACAUCAUUGUCUUCAACUAGUCACUGGUUUCAUCUUCACUUCCUUUUACUUACUGAUUACUCAUUGUGAAGUCAUUGCAUGACUGUUCUAUCUUUUGUCUUCACAACGUGAGUGUAUGAUCUGUUUGGCUUCAUAACAUCUUCCUACCUGAUCCUUAUUACACUGCAGCUAUUUGUCACUGUGCUUUCACUCUGUUGAUACUUGACCAUGGCUUGCCUAGUGUAGUCUACCUUCCGCUGCAUAGUAAUAGGCAUAUCUCUGCUGUUUGUCUUCAUAACUUCCACGUUUUGAAGACUUUCAUAAAAAUCGCCUAUUCACCCCCCCUCUAGUCGAUAUAACGCACUUUCAAUUGGUAUCAGAGCAAGGUGCUCCCUUGUUCUGUGUGAUUCGAUUUAACCACCUGGAGUUUUAGCUAUGUUGACUGCAGGGAUAAUUAAAGUCUCCGCUGCGUGCCCCGUCUUCGAUGGAACUGAAUAUCCCUACUGGAAGAAUAAGAUGCGUAUGCAUCUUGAAGCCAUUGACGUCGACCUAUGGUAUGUCGUCGAGAACGGCGUUCCCAAGGCUGGAGAAGGUGUCACUGCUGCUGAUGUCAAGAAAUUCGUUCAACUGGACUCUACUGCCAAGAACAUCAUCUGUGGUCAUCUGACCAAAGGACAGUAUGGCCAUGUGAGUGCCUUGAAGACAUCCAAGCUGGUCUGGGACUGGCUCUCCAAGGUCAAUGAAGGCAUCUCAACCCAGAGAGAUCAGAGAAUCAGUGUCCUUCGCAACCUCUUCAACCGCUUCAAGCGAAAUGACAAUGAGAAUGUCCAGCACACAUUUGACCGACUCACUGACAUCACAAAUGAGCUUCAAGCCCUCGGUGCCACUGAGAUUACCAAACACGAAGUCGUCAAGACGCUGCUGAGAUCACUUGAUAGUUUGUUUGACAUCCUGGCCCUGAUGAUCCAAGAACGUCCUGAUUUCAAGACACUUGAUCCGUCUGACAUACUUGAGAGGCUCAACACACAUGAGUUUCAGCUUUUGGAGAAAAGAGAUAUCUACGGUCCAAACUAUGGGCGAACUCGUGCCUUGAAGGCAAAAGCUGUCUCCUCAUCUGAAGAAGAAUCUGAUAGCAGUUCUGAUGAUCCUGAAGACAUUGGAAGGGAACUUGCUAUGCUUGUCAAGAAGUUCCAAAAAUUCACGAAGAAGAAAGGUUUCAGAAAGUCUUCCCGAUCAAGUUCAAGGAAUGAUGAAGCUCCUGCUCAUGACUACAAGAAGAAAACAUGUCACAAGUGCAAGAAACUUGGCCACUUCAUCUCUGAGUGUCCACAGUGGGACAAUGAGAACAAAAAGAAGAAGAAGAGCAAGGAAUAUGAUUCUGACGAUAAGAAGAAGAAGAAGAAAUACUCAAAGUCUUCUUCCAAGUCUUCCUCAAAGUCUUCAUCACACAAGAAGAGCUCAUCUGGCAAGGCACGUGCAUUUGUUGGCAAGGAAAUGGAUUCAGAAGAGGAGUCUGCUUCUGAGGAGGCGGAGGUGGAGUCUGAAGAGGAAUCCGACUCAGGCGUCGCAAGUUUGGCUACAUCAUACGUUGCCAAGUCCAUCUUCAACACUGAAGACAAUGACUUCAUCACCGACACCGAUGCAAAUGACAAGGACUGCUCCGCUUCCACCUACUGCUUCAUGGCACGCGGUGCCAAGGUAAACACACACACUACUCACUAUCAAACAUCUAGUGACGAUGACUCUGAUUGUGUUUCAAAACCUAGCUACAAAACACUUGCUAAAAUUGCAACUGAACAACAAAAAGCUAUGGAACAUAUUCAAAAACUGUUAGACAGAAGCGAUGAUCUAUUGGGUGCUGAAAUGACUCGAUCUGAAUCCUUAAUUGAAGACAUGAAAAAUCUUCACGUUAAGUAUCAGGAACUUGAAAAUCGUCAUGAAACUCUCUCAACAACUCAUGAAAAGCUUUCUAUGAUUAUCUUCAAAGGAAGCAAGAUCUUGAGAAAUUGAGAGCGGUUCAUGAAGAUCUUCAAACGGAAAACGAGUCACUUCGGGCCAAAUAGAUCAGUCCCGCUCAGGAAGGAUUUGAACCACCAUGUCUUAAAUGCAUUGAGCGUGAUAAUGCUACUUCUGUUGCUGAAUGUUCUACUGCUACUGCUGUUGCAAUAUCUUCAACUAUUGAUGCGGUAACUAACCUCUCUAUUGAGGAUACCACCGCUAUUGCUGAAGAGAAUGCUAGGUUGAAGACAUUGCUUGAAACAGGGAUGUACAAAAGCCUUAAAGGGCAUCAGACGCUAUGUGAUGUCCUGAAAAAGCAGAUUCUGAACCGAAACCCUAGGAAAGAGGGUGUAGGGUUCGUAAGGAAAAUGAAUGCAGAUGGCUCUUACUGGAAACCUGAGCAGUACCCCAAAACCAUGUGGGUUGCUGCAAAGGAACCUUCAGCAGAUCCAUCCAAUCUAACUGGCUUCACUUGUGCUAACCCCAUUACCAUUGAUGAAUCCUUUGAUGCAAACUAUAUACUGUUUAAGAAUCAGAAUGGUGAAGUGUUUGCCAGGUACAUUGGUACUAACUGCAGGAAUGGACCACCUAUGAAGAAGAUCUGGGUUCCGAAAAGGUGUCUGGAAAAUCUUCCUGUGAAUGUCUUCAUGACACCUCACUUGAAGAAGACAAACCUCAGACCAAAGGCUUCAUACGGUCCAAAGGCAUCAUACAAACAGAGGACUCACCUGAGUCGCACUAACGCAAAUGUUUUGCAGGGAAACCAUACUCAGGCAUAUGAAUAUGAGAGCGGUUCAUCAAACCGCCAUGUUCAUAAGACCAAAAACUAUUCUGCUUAUUCUUAUGAGUACUAUUGUCCACCUGCAAGACUGUUUGCUAAGGCUUCAAAGCCAAAAUUCUCAGAUGCUGCACUUAGACUUAUUGCUUCUAAGCCACCCUUGAAGAUGUGUGUGGUUAAGAAGGCUUAACUCUCUUUUGCAGGGAAAGGUCUCCAGCAGAAAACCAAAAUCAUCUGACGCUAUUGCUGGGGACCUUAAACAUCUUGUAGGGCGCAAGAUCAAAUGCCCAAAUGGUCUUACUAUGUACUUCGUACCUGAAUCGCUUGCUACUCUCCCUAUUAGUCCUAACCUGGAUCUAAGCUUUCAUAACCCACUGGUUCGUCAAAUGUUUUUGCUUCACAAUGCUCUUGGUGAAGCCUAUCCCCCUAACUGCACUGUAGGGUACUACACCAGCGUCUUCAGAAUAGAUUAUUGACAGUGGGUGUACGAAUCACAUGACUGGCAAAAGAAGUCUUCUUAUGGACUCAACUUUACGUCCAUCCGACAAGAGCCACAUCACAUUUGCUGACACUGGUAAAAGUAAGGUAUUGGGUCUAGGUAGAGUUGCAAUCUCAAGGGAUCAACACAUGGAUAAAGUCAUGCUUGUUGAACCCCUUGGCUUCAACUUAAUGUCUGUCUCAAUGCUUUGCGAUUUGAACAUGAUCGUAAUGUUUGGAAAAUAUCGUUGCCUUGUACUAAUGGAAUCUGACAAGUCUCUAGUGUUUGAAGGGUAUCGAAAAGAUGAUUUGUACGUGGUAGAUUUCUCAGCAGGGCCACAACUUGCAGUAUGUCUUCUAGCAAAGGCUUCAGAAUGCUGGCUAUGGCAUCGGAGGCUUGGACAUGCUGGCAUGAGGAACCUCCACACCCUUGCGAAGAAGAAGCAUGUAAUAGGCAUCGAGGGCGUCAAGUUCAAGAAAGACCACUUAUGCGGUGCCUGUGAAGCAGGGAAAAUAACGAGGGCCAAAAAUCCCUUGAAGACAAUCAUGACUACUACUCAACCCUUCGAACUGCUUCACAUGGAUCUUUUCGGUCCCACUCAUUACUCAACUCUAACUACUACUGCUUGCCUCUAUGGCUUUGUUAUUGUUGAUGAUUAUUCUAGAUAUACUUGGGUGCACAUAAUCCUUUACAAGACUGAAGUGCAGGAUGUCUUCAGACGCUUCGCCAAUCGAGCUAUGAACAAUUUUGGCGCCAAGAUAAAGCACAUCAGAAGUGACAAUGGCACUGAAUUCAAGAACACUGGCCUUGAUACAUAUCUUGAUACCCUGGGCAUCACACAUGAAUUCUCAGCCCCGUACACGCCACAGCAAAAUGGCGUCGUCGAACGCAAGAACAGAACACUAAUUGAGAUGGCCAGAACGAUGCUAGAUGAAUACAAGACCCCAAGAAAAUUUUGGCCCGAAACCAUUAAUACUGCAUGCCAUACAAUCAAUCGUGUUUAUCCUCACAAGCUACUGAACAAGACAUCUUAUGAGCUCCUUACUGGCAAAAAGCCAAAUGUCAGUUACUUCAGAGUAUUUGGCGCAAGGUGCUGGAUCAAGGACCCACAUCACACCUCAAAAUUUGCACCAAAAGCACAUGAGGGUUUUAUGCUUGGAUAUGGAAAGGAUUCGCACUCCUACAGAGUCUUCAAUCUCUUUCAUUACAAAGUGGUUGAAACAGUGGAUGUGCGGUUCGAUGAGACCAACGGCUCACAAAGAGAGCAGCUGCCAAGUGUGCUAGAUGAAGUUCCAUCCAGUGAAUCAAUCAAGCUAAUGGGAACUGGAGAGAUUAUACCUUCUGAAGCUCAUCCUGAAGAAGAACUUAUCAUUUCAGCACCUGAUCAACAUGAAGACAAUGCUCAGCCUGAAGACAUUCCUUCCAACAACGACAAUGAACAGCAAGAGCAAAGUCUUCGCCCUGUACAUCCUCGCGUUGCCAAUGAAGUGCAGAUUGAAAGAAUAAUUGAUAGCAUCAAUGCACCUGGUCCACUCACUCUUUCAAGGGCAACUCAGCUAGCAAAUUUCUGCGGGCACUUCGCAUUCGUCUCAAUAUCAGAACCCAAGAAAGUUGAAGAAGCCUUCAUGGAACCUGAAUGGAUUCAAGCUAUGCAAGAAGAGCUUCAACAGUUUGAGCUGAAUAAUGUAUGGGAACUAGUUAAGCGUCCUGAUCCACGGAAGCACAACAUAAUUGGCACCAAAUGGAUAUAUCACAACGAGCAAGAUGAGCAUGGUCAAGUUGUCAGAAACAAAGCUCGUCUCGUUGCUCAAGGAUAUACUCAAGUGGAAGGCAUUGACUUCGAUGAAACAUUUGCUCCUGUGGCUAGGCUUGAAGCCAUACGCAUACUACUGGCCUAUGCAAAUCAUCAUAACAUACUUCUAUAUCAAAUGGAUGUGAAGAGUGCCUUUCUCAAUGGCAAGAUUGAAGAAGAAGUGUAUGUUGCACAACCGCCUGGCUUUGAAAAUCCAAAACAUCCUGACAUGGUAUACAAGCUCAACAAGGCACUGUAUGGCCUCAAACAAGCCCCUAGAGCCUGGUAUGACACACUCAAAUACUUCCUGAAGAGCAAAGGCUUCAUACCUGGUUCCCUAGAUCCCACUCUUUUCACGAAGACAUAUGAUGGUGAACUGUUUGUGUGCCAAAUAUAUGUGGAUGACAUUAUCUUCGGCUGCACCAAUCAGAAGUACAAUGAAGAGUUUGGAUAUAUGAUGCAAGAGCAAUAUCAGAUGUCCAUGAUGGGGGAGCUGAAGUUCUUCCUUGGUCUUCAAAUACGACAACAACGCAAUGGCAUCUUCAUAUCUCAAGAGAAGUAUCUCAAAGAUUGCCUGAAGAAGUUUGGUAUGCAAGACUGCAAAGGCUUCACAACACCAAUGCCAGCCAAACAUCAUCUGGGUCCUGACGACAAUGGUAAAGAGUUCGAUCAAAAGGUAUACCGCUCCAUGAUUGGUUCUUUACUUUAUCUAUGUGCAUCUAGGCCAGAUAUUAUGCUUAGUGUUUGCAUGUGUGCUCGAUUUCAAGCGGCACCAAAGGAGUCGCAUCACUUAGCUGUGAAGCGAAUUCUUCAAUAUCUGGCUCACACCCCAACUCUAGGAUUAUGGUAUCCAAAGGGCACAGAGUUUGAUUUGGUUGGAUUCUCGGAUGCUGAUUAUGCUGGUGACAAAGUUGAUCGCAAGUCUACAUCAGGCACAUGUCACUUUCUGGGACGAUCACUUGUAUGUUGGUCUUCAAAGAAGCAGAACUGUGUAUCUCUAUCCAUUGCUGAAUCUGAAUACAUUGCUGCUGGAUCUUGCUGCGCUCAGCUUCUGUGGAUGAAGCAAACACUCAAGGACUAUGGCAUUCAUCUGAAGCAAGUGCCACUUUACUGCGACAACGAAAGCGCCAUCAAGAUUGCCAACAACCCAGUUCAGCACUCGAAGACAAAGCACAUUGAAAUUCGUCAUCACUUUCUUAGAGAUCAUGUUGUGAAGGAAGACAUUGAUAUCAUACACGUUAACACUGAAGAGCAAUUGGCAGAUAUCUUCACCAAGCCCUUGGAUGAGAAGAGGUUUUGCAAGUUACGGUGUGAGCUAAAUAUCCUAGAAUGCUCAAAUGUCCUGUGAUCAGGCACACAUCCUAACCCUUAUGCAUAAUGAUGACUUAGAUGUGCAACACAUGAAGUGAAGUAUAUCUUCAAUCAAUGAAGACGUACAUUCUAAGUGUGAAUACAUUAAUGUGGAAUUUGACUUCGGAGCGCCACGAUAAUUGUGCGCCGUGUCUGGGUCUAAUACUUCUUAUACGGUGGGUAACGCCACCACCAAACGUUCUAUUUUGAAGUGUUUCUCUCAUGGCGUUACCUUGCAAUGUCUUCACAUUUGGUUUGGCUUCGAACUCAACAUAUUUUCAUGAUUAUCUUCACUAUGUUGAUUAUAUAUAUAUAUAUAUAUAUAUAUAUAUGCUAGUGUUCUGUCCUCUACAGCAUUCACUUAUAGCUAUGUCUUCGUGUCGAAUCUUUUGAACUAAGUGAAUGUGAUCAGACCCCAACUUCUCUAUGCUUUCUAUCUCAAACUCUAUCUCUCUAAGUCAUAUGCAUUCUAUUGAAACUGUCAAAUGUCUUCACUGCGUCCUUGUCAGCAGAAGAUAUAGAGACAACCAUUAAGUCCGUUUUCAAUGCUCAUUCCUCCACAUAAAAUCCAGAGAAGUAGGAACGACCACCCGACAAUCCAGGCGUGCGUGGGACGUGGAACAAACCCCAAACUUCCGCAAACUGGCCACGCGUUCCUCAGAUGCGAAUCGCCAGGGGCACCUGUGUAAUAGCACAGUGCCGCCCUUGUGCCUAUAAAUACACACUCACAGCGGUAACUAUCUCUUCUUCCACCCUCGCAUGAACCCUAGCGCCAUCGCUAGCUCUCGACGAUGCCGGCGACGAAGCGCUUCGCUGCCGCAACCUCUCCGACGCCGUCUUCACGCCGACCGCGGACAUCGUCCUCUCCGCCGUCGCCGUAGGUCUCCUCCGUCGCCAAGUUAGGGCACGGACGAGUGAACUGCUCGGCCUCAUCUCUCGCUCCGUCUAGCAGUUCUCAGUGUGGUAAAUAGAACUCCCUUUUUACAGCACCGUUGAUCCUAUUGAUCUGUCACUUUCUACCACAAGUAGUUUCUGUUCACACAAGCUAGAUCUCUCUCAAACUGCAUCUCAUAACAUGCCUAGUAUAUUCACUUGUGCUUCACAAAGUAGUUAGAUUCCUCACUUGUACUGAUCUGUGGAUUUGUACAAAUCUGGAACCAACUUCUUAUCUAUGAGUGAAUGUCUUCGCACGAUGAGGUCAAUGUCUUCUAAACUGAUUUAUCUUCAAAAUCUUCUGAGAAUGCAUAUGACCUCUUCCCCUUCCCUCGCACCUUAAUGCUGUCACAGGUACAUGUCCGUGGGAGAAUCCUUUGGUUCUCAUAGUCUGCAUUCAUUUGCAGAAUUCUUACAGCAUCACAUCAAUUCUCCUGAAGCCAGCUCAUGUUGGUCCAACAAGAGAAAGCCUUUGAAGCCUUUGAACGUCUUGAAGCCUUUCAAGUUAAAGCUUAUGGCUUCAGAGAAAGCAACAAGGAAGGGGGGCAGACAACGUUGUGGCGGAACAUCCAAAGAUCUGCCUGAUGAACUCAUAGAAAUGUAUAAGACAGAUCCUGAAGAGGAUUAUGGUCAGCGCAAGACCCGAAUCCAAUGGAUUCGACGCUAUUGGGCAGAACAAUGGUUCAAGUACCGCUUCACAACCCAAGAGUAUGCUGAGAAAAGCGCCAUCAAAAGACCGUGGGGAGACAUCUUAUACAAGAAUCUCCAACCCAAGUCCAGAGAUGAAGCUAUUGCCCAAAGCUUCUAUCCAUGCAUGGUUCGUGGGCCACAGCCUGAUGAUGCACAUCCGUCGUCACUACUUUGGUGUCGUGAUGACAAUCUGUUCAAGUGCAACUUCCAGUUUGCCCAAAACUCAGCGAAGCAGAACAAGAAGAAAUUUGGGUUAGACUUCAACCCUGGUCCCUCAGCACCAAGGGCAGAUGGCACACGAGAAGCAGAACCCAAUGUCAUCGGUCCGUAUGCCAACCUUGAAGGCCUCAUCACCUACAUCUUGGUUCAAGGGACUGCAGUAAAUGAGCCUGCAGCUGACACUGAGUCUGAUGAAGCGCCUGCAGUGCCUGCAGUGCCGAAGCCAAAGCAGUUGAAGAAGCCAAAAGCUUCAAAGCCAGCCCCUUCACCAAAAAUAUCAAAGGCGAAGCCAUUGGCGACUGCACCUCCUGAAGAUAGUGUGCAGUCUGAAGACUUAUCACGCAUCUCAAGGCACUAGAAGGCCAAGAUGCCUCUGUCUCACACUGGCAAAGAGCUCACAGCUGCUGCCAUCCUGCGCAGUGAAGCCAUUGAUCUGUCAAGUGAUGAAGAUCUGGCAGAUGAUGCUCUUGAGCAGCUCAUCAAAAGCAAAGAAGAAGCAGAAAUCUUCAAUAAUCUGCCUCUCUUUGAUGUCGCCAUCAUCCACAGCUUCAUUGACGAGUGGUUUGACACGCCAAACAUCAGCUUUGAAGAUCUACAGCUACCUAUUGGCAUCAGUGUCGCCUUCCAAGGCGCCAUUACUUCAAAACUUGCUAUUGCCCAGCGCAUAGUUGAACUGAAGCAGAAAAUUGACUAUGAAAAGGCUCAGUUCAAGAAGCAUAUGGCCAAUCUCAGCGUGCAAGAAGUGAAGAACUUCAAGACAAUGAUGCACGAGCUCAAGGAAGCCUUUGUGAAGAAGCGUGCAGAAGCUCAGGGCUCGCGUGAGCGCAUGAAGGCUCUGGCUGACAGAUGUGUCCAAGCCUAUAAUGAGGCUGAGAAGCGCAUGGCACUUGGGCGUCCUGGCAUCGACCCCAGGAUGGCUGCAAAGAAGAAGAAGAAGCCUGCUACGGCUGAAUCUGAUGCACCAAGGCAAGAGGCAGUUCCGAUUAUCUUCCCAACAAGAAUGACUGGCUCGAAGCCAAAGAGCCAGUCAACAGCUUCAGAGCUCAAGAAGACAAGAACUGCUGAGGCUGAAGCCAGGAAGAGGAAAAGCUCUGAAGCCUCUCCUAUCUCCCCUAGCAAGAAAAAGAGAAAGACCAAGAAAUCUCGGGCUGCUCCCACAGAGCCCUUGAUAGUUGAACCCAUUUCUAUGGUUCACCCUGACGUGGAAUGUCAACUGACAGUUCAUGAGACUGCUUCCACAGAGGCUCCUGAAGCUGAAGACAUUCUAGCAGCUGACCCCAUCGCUGCUGAAGACAUUGGUCAUCGUGACAAUGUAGAAGAUGAUGCAGCCCUUCCUCAGUUAGACCACAGCGAACUCAUCAGCAUUGGUCGUCCACUGACGCCAAUUGCAUAGGAUGCUUCAUGGGUGGAUCGCCCUCAAGAGGAAGAAGACUAUGAGGCCCAGCCCACUCCAACCCCACAGGCGCCGUCUGCGUUCCGCAGGCUUCGCAAAGGUCCAAGGCCUCAAGUCUAUGCUGAAGACAUUCCGGCUGCAUCAGCCGCAGAAGAAGCACCACAAGAGCCCACUCCUCUGCUCCACCAAGAAGCAGUUCUCCACGAGAACAUGCUUGUGACCGACCCUCCAGCUAGUUAAGUGGGGGAUGAAAAUCUUGAGGCUGCCACAACCAACAACGAAGCUAAUGUGGAGCCCUCCCCAGCAAAAGCUUCAGAUGACAGCGAAGCCACUGAACCCACCACUUCUGUUCCUGAGUCUGCUGCCAGUCCCCAAUUCAACUAUCAUGUUGAGCACAGGCCUCAGGUCCAGAAGCCAAUCCCCAGACUGCCAAGGUUUCCAGGUCCUGCAUCAGCACCUGGCUCCUUCAACAUCAAUGGCUUCAGGGCAGACAACACGUUCUUCGAUAGCUCCAAGAACCCCUACUCAAGGGAAAGGAUAUCAUCUGAUCGGUUCUGGAGCUAUCCUCAGCGAAGCUACUACUCGUGCAUUCUUUACAACCAAGGUCGCAUCUUCCCACACAAGCGCCUUGAUGUUGAAGCUAUAGCUGGUCUGCCCUGUCUAGAAGAAGCAUUGGAUUGCUUCAAGCAAGUGGGUCUACUGCAGUUUGUCACUGAUGAAGAGCAUUGGAAUGAAGAGUUGCUGCUACAAUUCUAUGCCACCCUUCACAUCAAAGGAUACAGCAGAGAUCCGAAGACUUGGAUCCUGGAGUGGAUGACUGGCAACGUCCAUCAUGAAGCCAAUGCAUUUGACAUCAUUGAGCUCACUGGCUUGCCCACUCCAGGCGAUCUUUUUGAGCAAGGCUGUCAACUGCAUGCUGAAGCUAUUGAGAGCAUCUUUCAGCGGCCAGAACCUAAUAUGAGCCAAAUGCUCAGCAUGAUGAAGCCAUUGCCUCAAGAUGCUGCGUAUCCCAUAGAGUUCUUCGUUGAAGACCUUGAGUACCUGCACAGAACCAUCUAUCACAUCCUCAGGCGGACUCUUUGGCCUAUCAAAGGGCACUCUCCAAAUGCCAAGCUUCAGGGUGCAAUGAAGACUUUGGUCUUCAAUAUACUUCAUGGAAAAUGCUUCAAUGCACAGGACUUCUUCAUACGCCAACUUGCUGCAUCAGGCAUGGAUCUGUUUGGUUUGAAAUUCUAUGCCCUUGGGUCAUGCGGCUGAUCAAGCUACACUCCGCCAUCAAGUAUCAGCCCUCAGCCCGCAACCAUCGGAUCUUCCUGCCUGACGUGGACAUGUCAACUGAAGCCAUAUAUUCUGAGCCUGGCAAGCAACCUCUAAGUCUUCAGAAUGCAGAACAUCAGAGUUUCACUCAGAAUGUUGAAGGCGUUGAAGCAGUUUCUCGGGUGUAUCCUUUGGCUGGCACUACACGUGCACCACACCCUGCUUCAACUGAAGCCACUGACAGUGCCACUGCUUCAAGACCCAAGAAGCACACUCGUGUUCUCAACGACCGAGAGCUUCUUGUGGCCCUCCAUCAGAAACAAGAUAGGCAUCAUGACUGGCUGAAGCGUCAGAUGAAAAGCCUCUUGGUGGAUGUUAAUCGCACUCGAAAUCUUGCCACCAAGAACGCUUUCGUUGCCCAUGAAACCUGUCGCCGCACAUGGAAAGGGCUAAGGAUGAUGCUUUCUGAAGCUGGUCUUCAAGAGGAUGGCUUCACUGAGAGAUUCAAACACCUCCUCGAAGAGCUGUGCUACUGGGAACUCCAUCACUUGAAGACUCUGAGUUCUCUUCCUCUGCUGCCACAGUCACUGCCAGAAUCAUUGAGGAAGAAGACGAUGCUACUUCACCACCAUCUGCUUCAGCACCUCCAAGCUCUUCUGCACCGCCAAACAACAUCAACAACCAUGCUACUUCACCUACUCCUCAUGGGAACGAGUAGAGGCUUGUCUUCGAACCUUUUUGGUCAUUACUGACAAAAGGGGGAGAAGCAUAUGAGAUUGAUAGUCUUCAAGCGGGUUCAUAUGGGCGGGUGCCUUAUAUUUUGCUUCGUGCUUACACCUCUCGUUUUUUGCUACAUUUGGUUCUUGUGAGUUGUAACACUUAAACCAGAUGGUCGUCUGCUACUUGUUUGCCACCUUGUUUUGCGAAGAUAAAUUCCGCAUGUGCGACGAUAAAUUCCGCACUUAUCUCAUUCUGCAGACGUCCAUUUUCCAUUAUGCAUGUCAUUAUCUUCAUAUACUUUCACAUGCAUAGUGGAUUGUCAUCAUAAGCUGAAGUGGAUCUCCACAAGUACAACCUGCCAUGUGCAUUUGCAUUCCAAAAGCAAAUUAACUUAUACGCACAUCUUCAGGGGGAGCCCUUGCAACUUAUGAAGACAAUUCCUUAUCCUUUACAAUUUCACAGAUUAUAUUCCCCGUUGAAAACUUCAACUAGUUUGUCAUCAAUCACCAAAAAGGGGGAGAUUGUAAGUGCAUCUAGUGCCACCCUUAGUUGGUUUUGGAGUACUGAUGACAAACCUAGUUGAGGGACUAAUGUGUUUGUGAGAAUUGCAGGAUAACACAGGUAGAAGUCUCUCAUUGAUUCGGUUUUACUACCAGAGAUGACCCCUAAAAAUGUAUGAAGACAUUGAAGUCAAAGGUGGUAUAUGAAGAUAUUCACAUUGAAGACUAUGACAAGAGAAGACACGAUAUGAAGCCUAUGGAGCUCAAAGACUUAGAUCUUUCGUAGUUCUUUUUCUUUUAUGUUGAGUCAUAGGAACCACCGUACUGUUAAGUGGGGUCCAGGAGAACCAGUCAGAAUGACUGAAGUGAUGCCUAAACCAAAAACCUAUGUCUUCAGUGAAGACAAUGAGAGCGAAUUUCGUCCAGAGUUGGACAAGUCAGCUUUGCUUGUAGCCCAAGUAAAGUUGCCAUGAGAGUUUGAAAUCUGACCGUUGAGACACGUGUCAGUUCCUUAGUGACCCAGGGUCAUUUCGGACAAAUCAGGUCGGGUUGCCAAGUGGCUAUAAAUAGCCCACCCCCUACAACCAUAAACGAUUGGCUGCUCAGAUUGAGAGUACGGCUUUUGUCGUUUGAGAGCAACCCACCUCGAAGCCUUUGAGAGAGAAUUCCUUGCGAGGAUAAAGCCCUAACCACCAGAGCCAGAGAGAAUUGGGCAUCACUUAAGUCUUCUUGUCUGUGUGAUCUGAAGACUUAUUACACUUGAGGACUGUGCAUCCUCCAGCCGGUUAGGCGCCGCGUUCUGAGCAUCCAAGAGUCAUUGUGGAUCGCCGGUGAACGAAGUCUGUGAAGGUUUGGAAGUCUACCUUGAAGACUUACUAGAGUGAUUGGGCGAGGACUGGGUGUCCUUAGCUCAAGGGGAAUAAGGUGAAGACGAGGUCUUCUGAGUUGAAUCUCAGCCUCCCUAACCAGACGUACAGUUGUCACAGCAACUGGAACUGGUCCAACAAAUCAUUGUCUUCAACGAGUCACUGGUUUCAUCCUUCCCUUCCCUUUACUUACUGUUGGUCCUUGUGAAGUCAUUGUACGAUUGCAUCACCAUUUGGCUUCACUGAGUGAUUACUUGUUCUGAUUGGCUUCACAAUAUCUUCCUACCUGAUCCUUACUGCCUAGCUGCUAUUAGUCAUUGUGCUUUCACUUCAUUGAAUACUUGACUAUGGUUUGCCUAGUGUAGUCUCCCUUCCGCUGCAUGGUAAUAGGUUUAUUUCUAUCGUUUGUCUUCGAAACUUACAUGUUUUGAAGACUUUCAUAAAAAUCGCCUACUCACCCCCCUCUAGUCGAUCACUAGCACUUUCAAUUGGUAUCAGAGCAAGGUACUCCCUUGUUCUGUGUGAUUCGGUUUAACCACCUGGAGUUUUAGCUAUGUCGACUGUAGGGAUAAUUAAAGUCUCCGCUGCGUGCCCCGUCUUCGAUGGAACUGAAUAUCCCUACUGGAAGAAUAAGAUGCGCAUGCAUCUUGAAGCCAUUGAUGUCGACCUAUGGUAUGUCGUCAAGAACGGCGUUCCCAAGGCUGGAGAAGGUGUCACUGCUGCUGAUGUCAAGAAGUUUGUUCAACUGGACUCUACUGCCAAGAAUAUCAUCUGUGGUCAUCUGACCAAAGGACAGUAUGACCGCGUGAGUGCUUUGGAAACAUCUAAGCUAGUUUGGGACUGGCUCUCCAAGGUCAACGAAGGCGUCUCAACCCAGAGAGAUCAGAGAAUCAGUGUCCUUCGCAACCUCUUCAACCGCUUCAAGAGAAAUGACAAUGAGAAUGUCCAACUCAUGUUUUAUCGACUCACUGACAUCACAAAUGAGCUUCAAGCCCUCGGCGCUACUGAGAUCACCAAGCAUGAAGUCAUCAAGACACUCCUGAGAUCACUUGACAGUUUGUUUGACACCCUAGCCCUGAUGAUUCAAGAGCGUCCUGAUUUCAAGACACUCGAUCCGUCUGACAUACUUGAGAGGCUCAACACACACGAGUUUCAACUUUCUGAGAAAAGAGACAUCUACGGUCCCAACUAUGGGCGAACUCGUGCCUUGAAGGCAAAAGCUAUCUCCUCAUCUGAAGAAGAAUCUGACAGCAGUUCUGAUGAUCCUGAAGACAUUGGAAAGGAGCUUGUUAUGCUUGUGAAGAAGUUCCAAAAAUUCACCAAGAAGAAAGGCUUCAGAAAGUCUUCACGAUCAAGCUCAAGGAAUGAUGAAGCUUCUGCUCAUGACUACAAGAAGAGAACAUGUCACAAGUGCAAGAAACCUGGCGACUACAUCUCUGAGUGUCCAUAGUGGGACAAUGAGAACAACAAGAAGAAGAAGAGCAAGGAGUAUGACUCUGACGACAAGAAGAAGAAGAAAUACUCAAAGUCUUCUUCCAAGUCUUCCUCAAAGUCUUCAUCACACAAGAAGAGCUCAUCCUGGCAAGGCAUGUGUGUUUGUUGGCAAGGAAAUGGAUUCUGAGGAGGAGUCCGCUUCUGAGGAGGCGGAGGUGGAGUCUGAGGAGGAGUCCGAUUCUGGCGUUGCGAGUCUGGCUACAACAUACGUUGCCAAGUCCAUCUUCAACACUGAAGACAAUGACUUCAUCACCGACACCGAUGGAAAUGACAAGGACUACUCUGCUCCUUCCUACUGCUUCAUGGCACGCGGUGCCAAGGUAAAGACACACACUACUCACUAUCAAACAUCUAGUGACGAUGACUCUGAUUGUGGUUCCAAACCCAGCUACAAAACACUUGCUAAAAUUGCAACUGAACAACAGAAAGCUAUGGAACACAUUCAAAAACUGUUAGACAAAAGCGAUGAUCUGUUAGACACUGAAAUGACUCGAUCUCAGUCCUUAAUUGAAGACAUAAAAAAUCUUCAUGUUAAGUAUGAGGAACUUGAAAGUCGUCAUGAAAUGCUCUCAACAACUCAUGAAAGGCUUUCCUAUGAUUAUCUUCAAAGGAAGCAAGAUCUUGAGAAAUUGAGAGCGGCUCAUGAAGAUCUUCAAAAGGAAAACGAGUCACUUCACGCCAAACAGAUCAGUUCAGCUUAGGAAGGAUUUGAACCACCAUGUCUUAAAUGCAUUGAGAGUGAUAACGCUACUUCUGUUGUUGAAUGUUCUACUUCUGCUACUAUUGCAAUAUCUUCAACUGUUGAUGUGGUAACUAACCCUUCUGCUGAGGAUACCACUGCUAUUGCUGAUGAGAAUGCUAGGUUGAAGACACUGCUUGAAACAGGGAUGUACAAAAGUCUCAAAGGGCAUCAGACACUAUGUGAUGUCCUCAAAAGGCAGAUCCUGAACCAAAACCCUAGGAAAGAGGGUGUUGGGUUCGAAAGGAAAAUGAAUGCUGAUGGCUCUUACUGGAAACCUGAGCAGUACCCCAAAGCCACAUGGGUUGCUGCAAAGGAACCUUCAGCGGAUCCAUCCACCCUAUCUGGCUUCACUUGUGCUAAUCCCAUUGUUAUUGAUGAAUCCUUUGAUGCAAACUAUAAACUGUUUAAGAAUUAGAAUGGUGAAGUGUUUGCCAGGUAUAUCGGUACUAACUGUAGGAAUGGGCCGCCUAUGAAGAAGGUCUGGGUGCCGAAAAGGUGUUUGGAGAAUCUUCCUGUGAAUGUCGUCAUGACACCACAAGUGAAGAAGACAAAUCCCAGACCACAGGCUUCAUACGGCCCAAAGGCUUCAUAUAGACAGAGGACUCACCUGAGUCGCACUAAUGCAAAUGUUUUGCAGGGAAGCCAUACUCAGGCCUAUGAAUAUGAGCGCGGUUCAUCAAACCGCCAUGUUCAUAAGACCAAGAACUAUUCUGCUUAUUCUUAUGAGUACUAUUGUCCACCUGCAAGACUUUUUGCUAGGGCUCCAAAGCCAAAGUUCUCAUAUGCUGCACUUAGACUCAUUACUUCGAAGCCACCCUUGAAGAUGUGGGUGGCUAAGAAAGCUUAACUCUCUUUUGCAAGGAAAGGUCUCCAGACGAAAACCAAAAUCGUCUGACACUAUUGCUGGGGACCUUACACAUCUUGUAGGGCGCAAGAUCAAAUGCCCAAAUGGUCUUAUUAUGUACUUUGUUCCUGAGUCGCUUGCUAUUUGCCCUAUCAGUCCUAAUCUCAAUCUAAGCUUUAAUAAUCCACUGGUUCGUCAAAUGUUUUUGCUUCACAAUUCUCUUCAUGAAGCCUAUCCCCCUAACUGCACUGUAGGGUACGACACCAGCAGCUUCAGAAUGGAUUAUUGAUAGUGGGUGUACCAAUCACAUGACUGGCAAGCGAAGCCUUCUCAUGGACUCAACCUUACGUCCAUCUGACAAAAGUCACAUCACAUUUGCUGACACUGGUAAAAGCAAGGUAUUGGGUCUAGGUAGAGUUGCAAUCUCAAAGGAUCAACACAUGGAUAAAGUCAUGUUUGUUGAAUCCCUUGGUUUCAACUUAAUGUCUGUCUCAAUGCUUUGCGAUUUAAACAUGAUUGUGAUAUUUGGAAAAUAUCGUUGCCUUGUUCUAAUGGAAUCUGACAAGUCUCUAGUGUUUGAAGGGUAUCGGAAAGAUGAUUUGUAUGUGGUAGAUUUCUUAGCAGGACCACAACUUGCUGUAUGUCUUCUAGCAAAAGCUUCUGAAUGUUGGCUCUGGCAUCGAAGGCUAGGGCAUGCUGGCAUGAGGAACCUCCACACCCUUGCAAGGAAGAAGCAUGUCAUAGGCAUCGAGGGCGUCAAGUUCAAGAAGGAUCACUUAUGCGGUGCCUGUGAAGCAGGAAAGAUGAUGAGGGCCAAGCAUCCCUCGAAUACAAUCAUGAGAACGAUUCAACCCUUCGAACUGCUCCACAUGGAUCUUUUCGGUCCCACCCAUUACUCAACUCUUACUACUACUGCUGCUUGUCUCUAUGGCUUUGUCAUUGUUGAUGAUUAUUCAAGAUAUACUUGGGUGCAUAUAAUCCUCUACAAGACUGAAGUGCAGGAUGUUUUCAGACGCUUCGCCAAUCGAGCAAUGAACAACUAUGGCGCCAAGAUAAAGCACAUCAGAAGUGACAAUGGCACUGAAUUCAAGAACACUGGCCUAGAUACAUAUCUUGAUACCUUAGGCAUCACAAAUGAAUUCUCAGCUCCGUACACGCCACAGCAGAAUGGCGUCGUCGAACACAAGAACAGAACACUUAUUGAGAUGGCCCGGACGAUGCUUGAUGAAUACAAGACUCCAAGAAAAUUUUGGCCGGAAGCCAUUGAUACUGCAUGCCAUAUCAUCAACCGUGUUUAUCUUCACAAGCUUUUGAACAAGACAUCCUAUGAGCUCCUUACUGGCAAGAAGCCAAAUGUCAGUUACUUCAGAGUAUUUGGCGCCAGGUGCUGGAUCAAGGAUCCACACCACACUUCAAAAUUUGCACCAAAAGCACAUGAGGGUUUUAUGCUUGGAUAUGGAAAGGAUUCGCACUCCUACAGAGUCUUCAACCUUUUUCACUAUAAAGUGGUUGAAACAGUGGAUGUGCGGUUUGAUGAGACGAACGGCUCACAAAGAGAGCACCUACCAAAUGUGCUAGAUGAAGUUCCAUCCAGUGAAUCAAUCAAACUUAUGGGAACUGGAGAAAUCAUACCGUCUGAAGCUCAGCCUGAAGAGGAACUUAUCAUCUCCGCACCUGAUCAACCUGAAGACAAUGCUCAGCCUGAAGACAAUCCCUCUAACGAUGACAAUGACCAGCAAGAGCAAAGUCUUCGUCCUGUACAUUCUCGUGUUGCAAAUGAAGUACAGAUUGAGAGAAUAAUUGAUAGUAUCAAUGCACCAGGUCCACUCAGUCGUUCAAGGGCAACACAGCUAGCAAAUUUCUGUGGGCACUUCGCAUUCGUCUCAAUAUCUGAACCCAAGAAAGUUGAAGAAGCCUUCAUGGAACCUGAAUGGAUUCAAGCUAUGCAAGAAGAGCUUCAACAGUUUGAGCUGAAUAAUGUAUGGGAACUGGUUAAGCGUCCCGAUCCUCGCAAGCACAAUAUAAUAGGCACCAAAUGGAUAUAUCGCAACAAGCAAGAUGAGCAUGGUCAAGUUGUUAGAAACAAAGCUCGUCUCAUUGCUCAAGGGUACACUCAAGUUGAAGGGAUUGACUUCGAUGAAACAUUUGCUCCUGUGGCUAGACUUGAAGCCAUUUAGUUUGAAGUUUAUGGCUGCAGAGAAAUCAGUAAGGAAGGGUGGCAGACAGCGUCGUGGGGGAAUGUCAAGAGAUUUGCCUGAUGACCUCUCCGAGCUUUACAAGACAGACCCUGAAGAGGAUUACAAUCAGCGCAAGACCCGAAUCCAAUGGAUUCGAAGAUAUUGGGCAAAACAAUGGUUCAAGUACAGGUUUGUGACCCAGGAAUAUGCUGAGAAAAAUGCCAUCAAGCGACCAUGGGGAGACAUCCUAUAAAGAAAUCUUCAAUCCAGGUCCAGAGAUGAAGCCAUUGAACAAGGCUUCUAUCCCUGCAUGGUCCGUGGACCACAGCCUGCGGAUGCACACCCAUCGUCAUUGCUAUGGUGUCGUGACGACAAUCUGUUCAAACGCAACUUCCAGUUUGCCAAGAAUUCGUCUAAGCAAAACAAGAAGUCAUUGGGACUAGACUUCAACCCUGGUCCUUCUGCUCCCCUUGCUGAUGGCACCACGAAGCUGAACCCAAUCUUGUUGGGCCCUUCUACAACCUGGAAGGUCUCAUCACUCAUAUCAUGGUUCAAGGGACAGCCGUGGAUGAGCCUGUAGAUGACGCUGAAUCUGAUGAAGCACAUGCACCGCCGAAGCCAAAGAAACUGAAGAAGCCUAAAGCUUCAAAGCCUGCCUCAGCACCAAAAAUCUCACGGGCGAAGCCACUGGCUACUGCACCUCCUGAAGACAGUGUGCAGUCUGAAGAUUUGUCACGCAUCUCCAAGCCCUCGAGAGUAAAGAUGCCUUUGCAACACACCAGCCAAGAACUGACUGCUGCUGCUAUUCUGCGCAACGACGCCAUUGAUCUGUCCAGCGAUGAAGAUCUUGCAGACAAUGCUCUUGAGCAACUGAUCAAGAGCAAAGAAGAAGCAGAAAUCUUCAAUGAUUUGCCUCUCUUUGACGUGGCAAUCAUCCACAACUUCAUUGAUGAGUGGUUUGACAUGCCCAACCUCAGCUUUGAAGAUCUGCAACUUCCAAUUGGCCUUAGUGUCGCCUUCCAUGGCGCCAUUGCUUCAGAGCUAGCUCUAGCUCAGCGCAUCGUUGAACUGAAGCAAAAGAUCGACUUUGAGAAAGCUCAGUUCAAGAAGCACAUGGCCAAGCUUAGUGUGCAAGAGGUGAAAAACUUCAAGAUUAUGCUGCACGAGCUCAAGGAAGCCUUUCUCAAAAAACGUGCAGAAGCUCAAGGUUCUCAUGAACGCAUGAAUAGCCUGGUUGAAAAGUGUGUGCAAGCCUACAAUGAGGCUGAGAAGCGCAAGGCUCUUGGUCGUCCUGGCAUCGACCCAAGAAUGGCUGCAAAGAAGAAGAAGCCCUCAACUGAUCAAUCUGCACCUUCACGGCAGGAAGAACCUCGCAUAGUCUUCCCAGCCAGCAUGACUGGCUCGAGUCAGGUCAACCGCUUCAGAACUGAAGAAGAUGAGGAAUGCUGAGGCUGAAUCGAGAAAGAGGAAACAUCCUGAAGCCUCUGAUGUUGCUCCCUCCAAGAAGAAGCGCAAAACCAAGAAGGAUCGGGCUGCUCCCACAGAGCCCUUAGUUGUUGAACCUAUCUCAAUGGUUCACCCUGCAUCUGAACGUCAAGAGCGCCAACUGAUUGUCCAUGAGCCUGCUUCCACAGAGGCUCAUGAAGCUGAAGACACUCCAGCAGUUGAUCCCACCGCUGCUGAAGACAUUGGUCACCAUGACAAUGUUGAAGAUGAUGCAGUUCUUCCUCAGAUCGAGCACCAACUGGUAUCAUCGCCUGUGCUUACGCACAACGAACUCAUCAGCAUUGGUCGUCCUCUGACGCCAACUGCUCAGGAGGCAUCAUGGGCUGAUCACCCACAACAACAAGACACCCCGAGUACUCCCUGACAACAAGUCACACCACCCCGGCAAGAAGAAGAAGAUGACUUUGAGGCCCAGCCAACUCCAUCUCCAAAGGCGUCGCCAGUGUUACGCAGGCUUCGCAAAGGACCAAGGUCUCAAGUCCCUCUUUCGAGCGUUCCAGAAGGAGAAGUGCCCCACCAAUCUGUUGCACAUCAAUUGUUUCCAGAUGCCACUCCUACUGUGAAUGUCUCCGAGUCUGAGGCUAAAGCUGCUGAAGACAUUCCGGCUGCAUCAACCGACGACACAUAAGAAGAAGAACGUGUCCCUACUCCCCCAUUACUGAAGAAGCUGUUCCCGAGGAGAACGUGUCUGUGCCCGACCCUCCAGCUCAUCAACUGGAGGUUGAGAAUCUUGAGGCUGCCACCCCCAACACAAAUGAAGCCAAUGACGUAGUCAUGGCUGAAGCAAAUGUGGAGCCUGCACCAACCAAUGUGCCAGAAGUCAAUGAAGCCAAUGAUGCAACUGCUCUUGAAGCCUCUGUUGUGCAGCCUAACGCCUCUAUUGCCACUGCUCCUGUUCCUACACCUGCUGCUGGUCCUUAGUUUGACUAUCACGUUGAGCACAGGCCUCAGGUACAGAAGCCAAUGCCAAGGUUGCCCAGGUUUCCAGGUCCUGCAGCGGCACCCGGAUCUUUUAAUGUCAAUGGCUUCAAAGCAGACAACACCUUCUUCAAUAGCGCCAAGAACCCCUACUCCAGGGAAAGAAUAUCUUCUGAUCGAUUCUGGAGCUAUCCGCAGUGAAGUUAUUACUCAUGCAUUCUGUACAAUCAAGGUCGCAUUUUCCCUCAUAUGCGUCUUGACACUGAAUCCAUAACUGGUCUACCUUGCUUGGAAGAAGCUCUGGAUUGCUUCAAAGAGUCUGGAUUGUUGCCGUUUGUCACCGACAAAGAGCACUGGAACGAAGAAUUGCUGCUCCAAUUCUAUGCCACUCUUCACAUUCGUGGCUACAACAGAGAUCGAAGACUUGGGUCCUUGAGUGGAUGACCGGCAAUGUUCAUCACGAAGCCAAAGCCUUUGAUAUCAUUGAGCUCACUGGUCUGCCCACUCCUGGAGAUCUUUAUGAACCUGGUUGUCAGCUUCACAGUGCAGCUAUGGAGAGCAUCUUUCAGAAGCCUGAACCAAACAUGAGUCAGAUGCUUAGCAUGAUGAAGCCUUUGCCUCCAGAUGCUGCAUAUCCUAGGGAGUUCUUUGUUGAAGACCUUGAGUAUCUGCCACGCACUAUCUAUCACAUUAUAAGGUGAACUCUCUGGCCCAUCAAAGGACAUUCUCCACAUGCAAAGCUGGAAGGUGCAAUGAAGACUUUGGUCUUUCAUAUUCUUCACGGCAAAUGCUUUAAUGCACAAGACUUCUUCAUCCGCCAACUUGCUGCAUCAGGAUCUGAUAUUUUUGGCUUAAAGUUUUACGCUCCAUGGAUAAUGCGGCUGAUCAAACUACACUCAGCUGUCUCGUAUCAGCCCUCUGCUCGCAAUCAUCGGAUCUUUCUGCCUGACGUUGAUAUGUCCGUUGAAGCCAUCUAUCCAGAGCCUGCCGAGGAGCCUCUUAGUCUUCAAAAUGCUGAGCAUCAAAGCUUCUCUCAAAACAUUGAAGGAGUUGAAGCAGUCACUCGUGUUUAUCCUCUGGCUGGUACUACACGUGCACCUCAUCGUGCCCUCACCGAAGACACUGAAAGCACCAUUGCCCAACGGCCCAAGAAGCGAUCUCGUGUUCUCAAUGACCGAGAGCUUCUGGUUGCCCUUCAUCAGAAACAGGAUAGGCAUCAUGACUGGCUGAAGCUCCAAAGGCAAAGCCUCUUGGUGGACGUAAACAGGAUUCGCAAUCUUGCCACCAAGAAUGCCUUUGUUGCCCAUGAAACCUGUCGGCGUACAUGGAAAGGACUGACGCUUAUGUGCUCUGAGGAUGAUCUUCAAGAGGAUGGCUUCUCUGAACGCUUCAAGUUUGACUCCACACCUCCAAGAAGGACUGUGCUGCGACAAACUCCGUCUCUUGAAGACUCUGAGUUCUCUUCCUCCGCGGCAACUUUGAAUGCCAGAGUGAUCGAUGACGAAGACGAUGCUACUUCACCGCCCCCUACUUCUGCAUGCAUCGACACUGCCCCGAGUUCGUCUGCACCGCCUAACAACACCGACGACCUUGCUGCUUCACCUAGUCCUCCUGGGAACGAGUAGAUGCUCUAUGUCUUCAUACCUUUUUGGUCCUUACUGACAAAAGGGGGAGAAGCAUAUGAGUUUGAUAGUCUUCAAGCAGGUCCAUAUGGGUGGUUGCUUUAUAUUUUGCCUAGUGUUUACAACUCUCGUUUUGAUACAUUUGGUUCUUUGAGUUGUAACACUUAAACUCGAUGGUCGUCUGCUACUUAUUUGCUAUUCUGUGAUGCGAUGAUAAAUUCCGCAUGUGCGAUGAUAAAUUCCGCACUUAGAUCAUUUUGCAGACAUCCAUCUUUCAUUAUGCAUGUCAUUAUCUUCACAUACUUUUCAUGCAUGAUGAAUUGCCAUCAUAAGUUGAAGAGGAUCUCCACAAGUACAACUUGCCAUGUGCAUUUGCAUUCCAAAAGCAAAUUACUUAUAUGCACAUCUUCAGGGGGAUCCCUUACAACUUAUGAAGACAAUCCCCUAUCCUUUACAAUUUCACAUAUUAUAUUCCCCGUUGAAAACUUCAACUAGUUUGUCAUCAAUCACCAAAAAGGGGGAGAUUGUAAGUGCAUCUAGUGCCACCCCUAGUUGGUUUUGGAGUAUUGACGACAAACCUAGUUGAGGGACUAAUAUGUUUGUGAGAAUUGCAGGAUAAUACAGGUAGAAGUCCCUCAUUGAUUCGGUUUUCCUACCAGAGAUGACCCCUAAAAAUGUAUGAAGACAUUGAAGUCAAAGGUGGUAUGUGAAGACAUUCACAUUGAAGACUAUGACAAGAGAAGACAUCGCGUGAAGACUAUGGAGUGCGAAGACUUAGUAGUUUCAUCGUUCUGUGUUUUUCUUUGUUGAGUCAUAGGAACCACCAUACUGUUAAGUGGGGUCCAAGAGAACCAGUCAGAAUGACUGAAGUGAUGCUUAACCAAAAUCCUAUGUCUUCGAGUGAAGACUAUGAGAGCAAAUCUUGUCCAGAGCUGGAUAAGUCAGCCUUGCUUGUAGCCCAAGUAAAGUUGCCGUGUGUGUUUGAAAUCUGACCAUUGGAACACGUGUCAGUUCCUUAGUGACCCAGGGUCAUUUCGAACAAAUCAGGUCGGGUUGCCUAGUGGCUAUAAAUAGCCCACCCCCUACAACCAUAAACGGUUGGCUGCUCAGAGUUAAAGCACGACUUUUGUCGUUUGAGAGCAACCCACCUCGAAGCCUUUGAGAGAGAAUUCCUUGCGAGGAUAAAGCCCUAACCACCCAGAGCCAAAGAGUGUUAGGCAUCACUUAAGUCUUCCUGUCUGUGUGAUCUAAAGAGUUAUUACACUUGAGGACUGUGAAUCCUCCAGCCGGUUAGGCGUCGCGUUCUGAGCAUCCAAGAGUCAUUGUGGAUCGCCGGUGAACGAAGUCUGUGAAGGUUUGGAAGUCUACCUUAAAGACUUACCAGAGUGAUUGGGCGAGGACUGGGUGUCCUUAGCUCAAGGGGAAUAAGGUGAAGAUGAGGUCUUCUGAGUUGAAUCUCAGCCUCCCUAACCAGACAUACAGUUGUCACAGCAACUGGAACUGGUCCAACAAAUCAUUGUCUUCAACGAGUCACUGGUUUCAUCCUUCCCUUCCCUUUACUUACUGUUGGUCCUUGUGAAGUCAUUGUACGAUUGCAUCACCAUUUGGCUUCACUGAGUGAUUACUUGUUUUGAUUGGCUUCACAAUAUCUUCCUACCUGAUCCUUACUGCCUAGCUGCUAUUAGUCAUUGUGCUUUCACUUCAUUGAAUACUUGACUAUGGUUUGCCUAGUGUAUUCUACCUUACGCUGCAUGGUAAUAGGUUUAUUUCUAUCGUUUGUCUUCGAAACUUACAUGUUUUGAAGACUUUCAUAAAAAUCGCCUUUUCACCCCCCCUCUAGUCGAUCACUAGCACUUUCAGGUAAAAUAGCAAAAAACAAGAUAGCCCCUGACUCUCCAUUAUGGAGAAUGGAGAUUAUCCUAUCUCCAAUUCUUGCCUUUCGCUUAAUGUUACUUCCAAGAACCUCCUUGCGAAUGUCCAAACAUUUUUUCCAUUCUUUGAUUAGCAUGUGUUCACCGGUUUUAGAAAUCUGAUAUGCACAGGUGAGCUCCUUAGAUUGACCUGGCUGUAUGUUCAGAACUGCAAGGCGACCAUUCUGAUACAUCAGAUGAGGCACACAAUCCAUCAGGAUUUUCUGUUGAAAAACAUAGUAAUAACUUCGUAGUUAGCAAUGAUGUACUAGUUUUAGAAGUAUGCAAAAGAUGCACGGAUGUCGUAAUAGUAAAAAAUCUUACCAGGAUAUCUCCAUAGAAGUUAUCGUGGUUCAACACGUGCACUAGUGGCACGUAUUCAUCAUAAUUUGGAGGAGUUCCAUAAUUGGUAUUGUAAUUCUCAAGGUAAGUACAAUAAGCAAUCAGAUGACUUUUCUCCUUAUAAAUUAAUUCAGAGCCAUCAGUGUAGUGGGUUUUGUCUACCAUCUUCUGCACAUUCUUUGAAGAUUCAAAAUAGGCUGUCAAUGGAAAUAAGCUGUCAACUAUUUUGAAAUAAACAAUAUAAAUUAGUUAAUAACUAUGUUUGAGAAACUCACAUUGCGGUAGAAUCGGAAGCGUAUCAACAAGGACCCAAAUGUCCAUAUUGUCUUGCUCGAUGUCAGGAUCACCAAGAUCCAUGGUGAUAAUCAUACCCUCAUAAAAACCAUACAUUUUGCAAAGUGCUUCCCAAUUUUGGCAACCAAAAUGGGUUACGCUCUGAGAAUUGUACAGAUUUACUUCAAAAUCGAUAUCAUGAUGGGUCCUUAGGUGUAUUUUCUUUGUUUGAAAAUUUUCAUGGUCUUCAAAACCCAUCCUCUCCAAGACAUAGCGUUUGCAUGACAUGGGAUAAACUAGUCGAAUUGUAAAAGACGAAAAUUAGAUGUGGAAAUAGUUGAAGUCAUGCUUAAUUACGAAAAAAACACUUGUUGUUGUUGCGUACCGUUUCAACAUCGAAGGUCUCCUCGAGCUUAAUGCUGAAGCGCCGAUCUUCGUCCAGCUCAACGAACAUGUCGCACAUACCUCGAUCGUCGUGGCACCAGCUGCAUUCCCUCGGGAGACUGUCGUCGUCCGAGUACGACAUUUCCUACGUUCAUAAUUCAAAGAUUAAACUUGUACAAUUAAAUAUAUGUACUAAAAAACCUAAAUUAGAUCAUUAUUUUUUGAGAAAAUCCAGGCCACUCGAUAUUUCCUACAUAUUCUAGCACAAGUCAUGCCAGAAUUCACGGAAAAAUCCGGCAUGACCUUUGCUAAAAAAGGACAUAUCGAGCGCCUGAGAUUUGCCGGAACGGAAAUUAAUCAACACUCCGGCAAAACAUAGGCCACUCGGAGGUGUAAACUGAACAUGAACGGCCACUUGGGCAACCACAUAUCCUAUUUGAGCAAAUAUGACAUGUUCAACUAGUUUUAUUAAUUCAACUAGUUCUUACUAAAUAUAAACUUACUAUGAAUAGAAAAAAACUAGUUCUUUCUAAAAAUAAAGUAGUUCAACUAGUUAUAUUAAUUAUCUUACUAAAAAUACAUUAGUUCUAUUAAUUCAACUAGUUCAACUAGUUUAUUAAUUUACUUACUAAACUAGUUCAACUACAACUAAAGUAGUUCAACUAGUUUAUUAAUUUACUUACUAAAAUAAACUAGUUUUUACUAAAAAUAAACUAGUUCAACUAGUUAUAUUAUUUUUCUUACUAAUUCUAGUAAACACUUACUAAAAUUUAACCCUAACUAAUUUGAUGAACUCUAAAAUUUAAUCUUAACUAAUUCGAUGAACUCUAAAACUAAUUCUACUUAACAACUACUGCCAUAAUUAGCAUCUAAUUUGAUGAACCCUAACUNNNNNNNNNNNNNNNNNNNNNNNNNNNNNNNNNNNNNNNNNNNNNNNNNNNNNNNNNNNNNNNNNNNNNNNNNNNNNNNNNNNNNNNNNNNNNNNNNNNNNNNNNNNNNNNNNNNNNNNNNNNNNNNNNNNNNNNNNNNNNNNNNNNNNNNNNNNNNNNNNNNNNNNNNNNNNNNNNNNNNNNNNNNNNNNNNNNNNNNNNNNNNNNNNNNNNNNNNNNNNNNNNNNNNNNNNNNNNNNNNNNNNNNNNNNNNNNNNNNNNNNNNNNNNNNNNNNNNNNNNNNNNNNNNNNNNNNNNNNNNNNNNNNNNNNNNNNNNNNNNNNNNNNNNNNNNNNNNNNNNNNNNNNNNNNNNNNNNNNNNNNNNNNNNNNNNNNNNNNNNNNNNNNNNNNNNNNNNNNNNNNNNNNNNNNNNNNNNNNNNNNNNNNNNNNNNNNNNNNNNNNNNNNNNNNNNNNNNNNNNNNNNNNNNNNNNNNNNNNNNNNCGGAGUUAGGGAGAGGGGCAUGCGGCAUCGAGGUUGGGGACGGGGUCAGGGCGGUGGGCGCACGGCGGAGGGCGGCGAUGUAGGGGGGGUGUGUUGAGGUCGGGGUCGGGGGCGGCGUCGAGGUCGCGGUCGGGGGCGGGGGCAGCGUCGAAGGUGUGCGGAGAGCGACGGGUCGCGCGUGGCGGCCGACGAUGAUGCAGGGCGGCGACAGCGGAGGAGGAGGGAUUUGGGGGAAGUGGCCGUGGGGGAAGAACGAACCGCGCGGUUAAGUUAAAAGUAACAGUAGCGCGUUCCAGGAAGUGCGCUGCUGCUACGGUAGCUAUAACGCGUUUCCUAACAAGCGCUACUGCUAUUCCUUCUCUUUUUUAUUUGCUUUCCAUUUAAUUUUAUUUUCAUUAGCAGUAGCGCCUUUGUUCGUAAACGCGCUGCUACAAAACAAGUAGCGGUAGCGCGGUUCCACGUAGAUCACUAUUACUAUGUGUAGCCUAUCGGCUAAGCUGUGGGAAUUUUAGUAGUAGCGCUUUUAUACUCGGGCGCGCUACUGCUAUAACUGUAUCUGUAGCGCGGUUUUAAAUACCGCGUUGCUGCUAAUUAGCACCAGCGUGCGUUUUUAUCCCGCGCUACUGCUAAUGUUCUGUGUAUAAGGUUUUCCCUAGUAGUGUAAUGUCAUAUGCAACUAAAAGAUUCAGUGGCAUACACAAAAAAAGAUUCAAUGAGAAUUGAUUGAAUGACAUACACAACAAAUGAACGAAUCAAUACAAAGUGUGGCAAAAAACGUACCAUGUCCUCCGCCACGAUUUCGUCAAACAUGACCUAGGCAAACCUGGCGCCGAUGGUUCCUAGGGUUAUCUGCACCCAAUGGAGUUGCGGUGAGUUGUACACCAUCUCUGACGCGUCUUGUUUCGCCAAGCUAUCUGGAAUCCCCGCCCAUUCGGACGGCAGAAUGGACUCGGUCACGAGCGGACUGGAUGACACCUUCUUUCUUAGUGGUGGGGCAGAUGCGUAUGGGGCGAUCGGCUCCACUGGAUCGGAUGCAUCCAUGUUGAUGUGGAUCACCUCCUUGGUCGCAGCUUCCAGUUCACGCCACCGGGCGUGCUGCUCCUUCUGGGAGAUCUUCUCCACCUUACAACUGACCCCCACAGACUCCGCCAAGGCAACAUGCAUGGCAGAGGUGGGGGACGGGGUACUUGGUGAUAGCAUCUACGAUGGUGGAUGAGGGAGGCGACGUGGACUGGGAGCAAUGGUGGAGGACAACGAUGACUCAGACGCGAGAAAUGGAGGCAUAUGCGGGAGGAGGGCGGUCAAUUAGGUGGACUAGGUCAAUUUGGAGGGAUUUGGGGUGGGUCUGGUCUGUCAGAUCCGAUGUGGCGGACGCGUUUGGGCCUCCCCAUAUCCGUNNNNNNNNNNNNNNNNNNNNNNNNNNNNNNNNNNNNNNNNNNNNNNNNNNNNNNNNNNNNNNNNNNNNNNNNNNNNNNNNNNNNNNNNNNNNNNNNNNNNNNNNNNNNNNNNNNNNNNNNNNNNNNNNNNNNNNNNNNNNNNNNNNNNNNNNNNNNNNNNNNNNNNNNNNNNNNNNNNNNNNNNNNNNNNNNNNNNNNNNNNNNNNNNNNNNNNNNNNNNNNNNNNNNNNNNNNNNNNNNNNNNNNNNNNNNNNNNNNNNNNNNNNNNNNNNNNNNNNNNNNNNNNNNNNNNNNNNNNNNNNNNNNNNNNNNNNNNNNNNNNNNNNNNNNNNNNNNNNNNNNNNNNNNNNNNNNNNNNNNNNNNNNNNNNNNNNNNNUGGUCCAUCUCUCUGGACUUUCGGGGACGAUAUGAGAGGGGUCCAGCUGUAGAUGCUCUUAAAGCAUCUCCAACAUAUCCAACAACAACAACAACAACAACAACAACAACAACAAAUCCUUUAGUCCCAAACAAGUUGGGGUAGGCUAGAGGUGAAAUCCAUAAGAUCUCACGACCAACUCAUGGCUCUGGCACAUGGAUAGCAAGCUUCCACGCACCCCUGUCCAUAGCUAGUUCUUUGGUAAUACUCCAAUCCUUUAGGUCUCUCUUAACAGACUCCUCCCAUGUCAAAUUCGGUCUACCCCGACCUCUCUUGACAUUCUCCACACACUUUAGCCAUCCACUAUGCACUGGGGCUUCUGGAGGCCUGCACUGAAUACGCCCAAACCAUCUCAGAUGAUGUUGGACAAGCUUCUCUUCAAUUGGUGCUACCCCAACUCUAUCUCAUAUAUCAUCAUUCCGGACUCGAUCCUUCCUUGUGUGGCCACACAUCCAUCUCAACAUACGCAUCUCCGCCACACCUAACUGUUGAACAUGUCACCUUUUAGUCGGCCAAAACUCAGCAUGUUGGGGAACGCAGUAUUUUAAAAAAAUUCCUACGAUCACGCAAGAUCUAUCUAGGGAUGUGUCAUGGGGUUAGCACGGCAGAUGUCCUACUAUGAAGACUUAGUCGUGGAGCCAUCACACUAGGUUAGCUUAAAGGGGUUAAAUAGGACAAAGGACAUGGAGGUUUUAUACUGGUUCGGCCCCUUGCGGUGAAGGUAAAGGCCUAAUCCAGUUGAAGGUGGUAUUGCUAGAUUUCGAUUACCGGGGAGCGAAUACGCUUGACCUAGUUCUCAAUUUGUUGUCCCUAACUCGCCGCUGGGUCAUCCCUUUAUAUACAUAGGUUGACGCCCGGUGGCUUACAGAGUCCCGGCCGGCUUAUAAACGUAUCCGGCUCGGUGACCUAAUUACAAUUGCCUUAUAACACAAGUCACAUACAUAUGGCGGUUUACACCUACGGGCCUUAAGCCGCCUUUGGGCCUUUGGGCUUUCAUAAGUCAUCUUCAUGAACCGCCAUCUUCAACUCCUUCCUGGGCUUUGUCCUAUGAGUCGCCAGGUGUAUAACUCGGCCCCUCCUGGGCAGGUUAACUCAGUAUCUAUAUCCCCAACAUUAGGCCCCAUGUUGAUUUGAACUUGUUCAUAUCAAUCUUCAACACUUAGGAAAAUUCCUUCUUCAUUACCUUCACGAGAACUUGUAACUCGCCGUGACGUCAUCCUCUGGAAUUAUGAUAACCCGCCAUGAUGUCACCUGUCAUUAAUUUUAUACAACCAAAUCUUUAAUGCAUCUCCUCAUUUUUAAUGAAUCUCCAAAAAUCGAGGCGUCUAUACUGUCACAUAUCCGUUCUUUGGUCUCCUCGAUUCUCGCGCUUGUCACUUAUCCAUUUGCCUUAUAAAUAGAGCGGGGGCUUCUUUCACUUCCCCCCGUACCUCUUCGUCUUGCCUUCUUCCUCGCGAUGCCCUAGCAUGCGAGCUCUGCCGCCACCGUCGACCUUCAUCUCUGCUCCAACAUUGGUCGCUGCAUCAACCUGUUCGGAUCAGAUCUCCUCCACGCAUCUCCGCUGUUCAUCAACCCUGGUUAGUUCUCCUUUUUUCCUUUUCUCCUAGAUCUGUUAGGGUUUACACGAGUUCAUGGAAGCUCAUCGCUGUUCUUCGCUGUUCUUUGCUGUAGCAUAAGCACUCAAUUCAAACUUAAUACCUUUCUUGUGCAGUAAUAGCCAUAGUUCCCUUUUUCAUCAUCAGAGUGUCUCUUUUUAAAUAGAAAAUCCAAUCUGGACCUUAUGAACUUCUCAAGAACCAAUAUUUAGGCCUGAAUAUACUUUCAUUUCCUAAUACGCGGUAGAUCCAAAAUUGUAAUAUCAAUAUGUGAAACCUGUUUUUCAUCACUUAGCGAUUUUUUCCAUCUUCAGAUCUAUACCUUCAGUACCUGUUCAGGCAGUUUAACUCAGAAAAGUAAUAUCCCGCCAAGCACCAUUAGUCCCCUCUUAAACCGCCAAUGGCUCAUUUUUGUAAUUUGAUAAUGCUAAUCUUCAACUUAGCACCUAUGCAUGCUCCAUCAUUGUCUGCCUUUUAACCUCCAGCAACUUAACAUGAACCUUAAAUCGGCACAAAUUUUCUUUCAGGUCCUUGAACAAAUGGCCAAGUCCUUUUAUUCUUGUAACUGGGCUCAAUCCCAGAUUACAGAGGAAGAUCUAAAUGGGUGUUGAUGGUGUCCUGGACUAGGGGGUACUCACCACGUCGUCUCCUGAUCAGUUGGAUUGGGCCGAGGACCCCCAUGGCCGUGUACUCAUGGGCCAGUUCGGACAACCCAUGCCUCAUACAAGGAAGACUCCACAAGACUUGGCGCCCAAGAUAAGGACUCUCCUAAAACCCUAGGCCUCCGGUGUCUUAUAUAAACCGAGGCUAGGCUAGUCAAUAGACAAUCUCAUAUUCAUUAUUACCAUCUAUCGUCCAAAUAUGCACCAUGUUGACUUAAGCGAUUUACAAGCUAGUCAAUAGACAAUUGUGGCAUAUUUGUUCGUGUAUUACAACACAAUAUGCACCAUGUUGACUUAAGCGAUUUUCAUGCUAGGUUGCCUCGCUCCUGUGUUUACCCCUACGUUCUCGAUUGUUCGGCUAGGGAGUAAAGGGAGCACCUCUGCGAUUGUCAUGAUUGGGUCAUCCGAGCCGGACCUCAGACUGGGUGAAGCCGAAAGCUAGCGCUCUUAUUUUCAAUUAUGGUCGGCACACAACGGAACUCAUGAGUACAAAAAAUCUAUUGCACAAGUCUCAUAAUAAUAAUGAGCACCGAAGAAAGGUAUCGGUGGGGGUACUAUUUUCUUCGAAGAUGCUUCUUACACUUUGUCAGUAAUAUAUCAUAAGUUCCCUGAGCGCGCUUUGUCUGUUACAACCAUAUGGCCUGAUUGCCUGGUUAUCAGAAACACCGUUGAUAUUCUCGACAGGUGGAGUGCAUAACACUUUUCGGUCCUUGACCGAAGAGGGAGAAGCCGAGGGUCGGUUAAGACGCGUUUAAAGUUCGGGUGAACACAAAUAUGAUACAAGUACUUCGGUACAUACGAUCAUUAUACAUAAAAAUUCUUUUACCCAAGUCACUUGGGGGCUCUUAAAUUUAUAUGAGCCAUUUUAUAAUAAAUGGUUUCUUCCUAGUUGUUGCAAAGUCUUUUUCUAUCGCUCCUUUUUCGACGCGAGUGUGUGGUCAAUAGUCGGGGAGCCUAAUUUCUCUCUCAAAGCCGCUAGAGUUUAGUUUGCUAAAUUGGCCUAACGAUUAGUACCCCGCCUUAGGGAUAGGAGGUUGAAGCCGUAGGCUGACCCGCUUGAAGUCUUGAGAUAGGAUGUGUCAUAUUAAAGCACGACAUAAGCACUUUUUUCUUCUUCUUUUCUAAGACCAAUUUUCGAAUUGGCACCGAACACUUGAUCUUGUUCGGACGUCUAGUUUUUACUAACGUUUUUUGGUUUUCCAAGCUUAUGGCACUGCUAAACUAUUUGUGUCUUUCCCGCAUAAGUCGCGCAGUGCAACGCCGGAUACCUUUAGAGAUUCGGCAAAAAACAUUCUCGGAUAUUACUAUAUAUGCAUUAGUUUCGAAUUGUGUCUUCGGUCAAUAGUUGGGUUGCCCGGCUCCUGUGCUUGAUCGCCUACGUUCCGCUUUGUUUGGCCAGGUGUGCAAAAGGAGAACCACUGCAAUUGUGCUUCCAGCUAGCAUGGUUAAGCACCUUAGUGGAGAAAGCCGAAAACUGACUGUCACAAUAAGCGUAAACUGGUCAGUGAUCCGAUGACUGUGUUAAAUGAUGGGCCGUUCAUAACAUUGGUCGGAUUGUUUACGGCUUGACCUCGGCUGUCGCCGAACACUAACCGGGGGCUCGUAGCUAGCUUCCCUAAUUUAAAACUCCUCUAACUAAGUGAAAGUUAUAAAGCCCGCAUAUCUGAUUGCCUCGUUUCCGCUAACACAACCGCCUUCGGGCACCGAGACGUUGGCUAAGGGUUGUCUUGUUAUUGCGGAAACACCCUGCAUAGUAUCUACAAAGGGGUAGAAGCCGACGAUGGGCCACUUUCAACUGAUAAACGGUCACUACGGAGUCAAAAUAAACAUAUCAUCGGCAUUUGUAUUUUACUUUGGCUAUCGAUCCUUAAUUCGGCCACCCGUGCCCACAUUAAUGCUCGGGGGCUACUGGGCUUCGUGCUUAUUAAUUACAAACAUUAAAGGGGUACAUCGAUCCCCUGAUCUGGUGUCUCCACCCGACCAGUGUCUCGGGGGCUAAUGCAUUGGCAAUCCAAUGCAGAAAAUUUAAAAGCAAUAUAGUUUUCGAGGAGAUUAUUAUCCUCAGGUUGGUCGGCCGCACCCAACCCGAGUCUCGAGGACUUUGCACACCGCGUUUCUAUUCCUAAGUAUGCUGCCGAGCUGGGAAUUGAUCCUCAGGCUGAUUUUAUGUAUCGACCUGAGACUCAGGGGCUACAAGGGUAAGCGGUUUGUUUUUUUCCUUCAGGUGCAUCCCGGAUAUUAGGCCAACACGCACCUUGAGGGCUAUUGGCUAUACAUCUCGGCAGAGAUUACAUUGCACAAUUCGGAAUUAAAUUCAUAAAAAUCAGCCCAUGGUCGAGGUGGUGCACCACCUCGGAUACAGUCCGACGUUGGUGCUCGACUAUAAUAGACACCCUGGAUGCAGUCCGGCAUAAAGCUCGGAUGCCAGUGGCUAGCUCCGUAGAGGGCAUUUCCGGCAUUAAGCUCAGCUAAACUCCUUCAACUUUUUUGAACCAAGGUGAUCUAUGACACCUCAAAUACAGUCCAGUGUUGGAGCUUGGACAUAGUCCGGCGUUGGAGCUUGGACAUAGUCUGGCGUUGGAGCUCGGAUACAUUCCGACGUUGGAGCUCGGAAGCGGUCCGACGUUGGUGCUCGGCUGCUAAAGAUACCUCGAAUGGAGUCCGGCGUUGGAGCUCGAACGCAAGAGGACGUUGCCGCUCGGGAACAACUUCAAACCCAAGGUAUGGCAUAAAAAUAACAAGGCAUUGAUAAAGGCCGGAAACUUAAAGGGGCUCCUCGGAUACCCGAUGUGUAAACUCUUCGGAGUCACCUCGUCGAUCCUCAAGAUCAAAGACAAGAAAAUUUGUUGAACCGGUUUUCAAGACCAACGACCGAAGGUGAAGAACAGUUCGGAAGAAUCGAGGAGCGUCCCCAACUUGAAGACCGGUUCAGGGGGCUAUUGACGGUGUCCUGGACUAAGGGGUACUCACCACCACGUCUUCCGAUCGGUUGGAUUGGGCCGAGGACCCCCAUGGCCAUGUACUCAUGGGCCAGUUCGGACAACCCAUGCCGCAUACAAGGAAGACUCCAUAAGACUUGGCGCCCAAGACAAGGACUCUCCUAAAACCCUAGGCCUCCGGUGUCUUAUAUAAACCGAGGCCAGGCUAGUCAAUAGACAAUCUCAUAUUCAUUAUUACCAUCUCGUGGUAGACACAUGUACUCUGUACUAUGCCCAUAUGAAUACAAUCAAAAGCAGGACGUAGGGUUUUACCUCCAUCAAGAGGGCCCAAACCUGGGUAAAAUCCGUGUCCGUGUUACCAUCGCUCCAAGACGCCUAGCUUAGGACCCCUACUACGAGAUACGCUGGAUAUUGAACCGACAGGUGUGUUGCUAUCGGCGCUUUAGCCAAAAAGGAAGUUAUCCACUGGAGGGGCCCUAGUUUAGAAAAUCCUCCUGAACCCAAGGAUGGGGAAGUGGUCGUCUUUUUGACCAUCUAAGUCGAGGGUUCAGCCCUCUUGGAUCAAUUUUUUUUCGUGAUGUGCUUCAUUUCCUCCAGCUUCACCCCCAAGAUAUUGGACCUAACUCCGUGUCCAAUAUUUGCAAUUUUCAAGUGUUCUGUGAAGCUUAUCUUCAAGAGGAGCCCACGGUUGAUCUGUUCAGAGAUUUUAUUACUUCAACCGCCAUACGGAAUUUGUGGACGGGCCCAAUACUGAACUUGGCAGGGUAUUAAUUCAAAAGAUAAAAGAUGUCAGCUUCCCUCAUGCUAACCAUCAUAGCCACCCCAAAGAUUGGAAUCAGACCUGGUUCUAUUGUCGAGAUACAUCUCCAACUAGCGAAAAUCCUCUGCUGGGUUACCAUGCUCACUGGCUUACCAGCACACAUCCGCUCCCCCAAAGACUCAGUGCAAAGGAACAGGCCAAGUAUGCACCAAAGCUUUCAAAACUCAGAGCCUUUGUGGCAAACGGUUUAAUGGGCAUUGACUUUGUCUGUUGCUGGGUGUCUUGGAGUAUUCUUCCCUUAAGUCGUUGCCUAGGGUUAAUGUGUGAGUACACAGGGGACGUGAAAGACCCUCAAUGCCACACUAACAUUCAGCUAUCCGACGCAGAAAUUACUGAAGCCGUCAAGAAAAUGUUGAAUGAACUAGUGGCUGAGUGUAGCAAAACAAGGCUUAGUCCUUUCUGCACUGUCAACAAACCACCAAAUGUAAGAAUUGUUCAACUCCUGCUUAAUCUAUAUUCUGAAUAUCCCUUUAUGAUCUUUUCAAUCUUGAUAGGUUGAUGAUCCGUUCUGGAAGAGGAAACCGCUGGAUAAACCGGUGAAAGCACCUCGUACAAAAACCAAGGUCAACAAGAGGCCUACCAAAAGUAAAACCGCCGAGUCCACCGAGUUGAAUAUUGAUGAUGAUGAUGAUAAUCAUGAAUCAGAGGUAGAACUUGAUUCACUAGGCUCUUUUUUCAUACAUAUCAUUGACAAUGAUUAUUAUCAGGAUGACGCAGAGGCUAGCCAUGUUGGUGACGCAGAGGUAAUUAUUCUUUCCUCCGGCUCAGAACCUCUGCCAACACAGAAAACCCGUCAAGCAAGCCGGAAAGUAAGAUUUUCUCACCCUCUAGCUUACUUGGAUCCAAACUUUCUUUUGAACAAACAGCAACACGAAGCUUGUCGCACGACCCGGCAUAGUGGCAAUGUGAUCAUCUCUUCCGGUUUAACAAACACUCCACUUCGCAAACACCGUCCAGAGGUUCUACAUCUUCCUGACAUACUCUACCCCAAGGCGGGUUAUUUUCGACAACCUCUUAAUCCGUCUGAUUCAAACUAUCAGGGGACUUCCCAUUCCUCUUCUGGCGAGUCAACAGGAACACAGAUUCCUGCUUUCAAAACUGUACCUGGGUAAGUUUAUUUCCAACUAUUACAACUUGCAUAUUUGAUCAUCCUCUUGACUUUCAUUUAUGACUUUUCUUUUCAGGGCCCAAGCUAAACCCAACAAGAAGGCCAGGUUAAAUAAACCGGUUGAUGACUCCAAUCUGUUAGAGCCGGAACAACAACCAGAGCUUUUAUCAGCCAAUCAUUGACAACAUUGUGGAUGAUUUGCCACCACGGGAUCAUGAUGUUGAUAUUGACCCAAUGAAUGAUAACCCAUCUGAUGCUAAUCCGCCAAAUCCUAUCAAGACAACCAGCCCUGUUAAAUCGCCGGAGCAAAAAGAUGCUGAUGUUACUAUUACUGGCCAUGGUUUCACAACUCCGGGUCAUCCUACUACCUUAUCCAGGCAUGACACCAAAGAAGAACUUACUGCUGAAGAUAAGGGCAAGUGGAAAGUGAACCUGGAGAGCUACACUCAUUUCAGUGCCCAAGACCUUCACUCUGGCUAUUUGAAUCUCCUAUAUACCAGUCGUGACUUCGAAGCCGGCUUAGUGAACUUGAUGAAGGAACGUUAUGAGGUAAAUAUUGCAAUCCCUUUCACAUAAGUAUAUUUCCCUUAUCUGCUGAUAUGUCUCCAACGUAUCUAUAAUUUUUGAUUGUUCCAUGCUAUUAUAUUAUCAACCUUGGAUGUUUUAUAUGCAUUUAUAUGCUAUUUUAUAUGAUUUUUGGGACUAAUCUAUUAACCUAGAGCCCAGUGCCACUUUCUGUUUUUCCUUGUUUUUGAGUAUCGCAGAAAAGGAAAAUCAAACGGAGUCCAAUUGACCUGAAAUUUCAUGGAGAUCAUUUUUGGACCAGAAGAAGCCCACGGAGUACCAGAGAUGGGCCAGAAGAGUCCCGAGGCCACCACGAGGGUGGGGGGCGCGCCCUACCCCCCUGGACGCGCCCCCUACCUCGUGGCCGCCUCGGGGUCCCCACUGACUUGUUCCCGACUCCAACACCUCUUAUAUAACCCCAAACUUCCAGAAUGAAACCUAGAUCAGGAGUUCCGCCAUCGCAAGCCUCUAUAGCCACCGAAAAUCAAUAUAGACCCGUUCCGGCACCCUGCCGGAGGGGUGAAUCCCUCUCCGGUGGCCAUCUUCAUCAUCCCGGCGCUCUCCAUGACGAGGAGGGAGUAGUUCACCCUCGGGGCUAAGGGUAUGUACCAGUAGCUAUGUGUUUGAUCUCUCUCUCUCUCUCGUGUUCUUGAUUUGGCACGAUCUGUAUGUAUCGCGAGCUUUGCUAUUAUAGUUGGAUCUUAUGAUGCUUCUCCCCCUCUAAUCUCUUGUAAUGGAUUGAGUUUUCCCUUUGAGGUUAUCUUAUCGGAUUGGGUCUUUAAGGAUUUGAGAACACUUGAUGUAUGUCUUGCAUGUGCUUAUCUGUGGUGACAAUGGGGUAUCACGUGAUCCACUUGAUGUAUGUUUUGGUGAUCAACUUGCGAGUUCCGUGACCUCGUGAACUUAUGCAUAGGGGUUGGCACACAUUUUCGUCUUGACUUUCGGGUAGAAACUUUGGGGCACUCCUUGAAGUUCUUUGUGUUGGUUGAAUAGAUGAAUCUGAGAUUGUGUGAUGCAUAUCGUAUAAUCAUACCCGUGGAUACUUGAGGUGACAUUGGAGUAUCUAGGUAACAUUAGGGUUUUGGUUGAUUUGUGUCUUAAGGUGUUAUUCUAGUACGAACUCUAUGAUAGAUUGAAUGGAAAGAAUAGCUUUGUGUUAUUUUACUACAGACUCUUGAAUAGAUCGAUCAGAAAUAAUAACUUUGAGGUGGUUCCGUAUCCUACAAUAAUAUCUUCGUUUGUUCUCCGCUAUCAGUGACUUUGGAGUGACUCUUUGUUGCAUGUUGAGGGAUUGUCAUAUGAUCUAAUUAUGUUAUUAUUGUUGAGAGAACUUGCACUAGUGAAAGUAUGAACCUUAGGCCUUGUUUCCUAGCAUUGCAAUACCGUUUGUGCUCACUUUUACCACUUUCUACCUUGCUGUUUUUAUAUUUUCAGAUUACAAAAACCUAUAUCUACCAUCCAUAUUGCACUUUUAUCACCAUCUCUUCGCUGAACUAGUGCACCUAUACAAUUUACCAUUGUAUUGGGUGUGUUGGGGACACAAGAGACUCUUUGUUAUUUGGUUGCAGGGUUGCUUGAAAGAGACCAUCUUCAUCCUACGCCUCCCACGGAUUGAUAAACCUUAGGUCAUCCACUUGAGGGAAAUUUUCUAUUGUCCUACAAACCUCUGCACUUGGAGGCCCAACAACGUCUACAAGAAGAAGGUUGUGUAGUAGACAUCAAGCUCUUUUCUAGCGCUGUUGCCGGGGAGGUGAGUGCUUGAAGGUAUAUCUUUAGAUCUUGCAAUCGAAUCUUUUAGUUUCUUGUUUUAUCACUAGUUUAGUUUAUAAAAGAAAACUAAAAAAAAUGGAAUUAAGGUUGCCUCAUAUGCUUCAUCUUUUUAAUGUCUUUCAUGAAAAUAAGGAUUCCGAUAAUUGUGCCAAAGUGUUAGAAGAAGAAUGUAUUAAAAUGGUUGGCACUAAAUCUUUGGAUGACGAGCAUGAUUGCAAUGUUUUUAGUAUGAAUUCUUUGAAUAUCCAUGAUGCUAAUGAUAUGCAAAACCACAAGCUUGGGGAUGCUAUGUUUGAUGAAGAUGAUAUUUUUUGUCCCCCAAGUUUUGAUGAGAAAAUUUAUUAUGAUAGCAUGCCUCCUAUUUAUGAUGAUUAUAUUGGUGAAAGUGGGUUUGGAAGAGUGUCAACUUUAGGAAGUAAUGAUCCCACUAUUUUGGAGGGUGUUGAAUCUUAUUGUGAUAAUUAUGAAAGUGGAUUUGGAGAGGUCAUGGCUUUAUUUAGUGAUGAAUCCACUAUUUUGGAAGAGGUUCCAAUUGAUUAUGUGAACAAAGUUGCUAUCUAUGAUGAUUAUUGUGAUGACAUGUAUGCUAUAAAGAAUAAUGAUAACCAUGAAACUUAUCAUCUUAAUUUUAAUUCUCAAUUGGAUUAUGCCUUACAUGAUAGUUAUUUUGUUGAGUUUGCUCCCACUAUUAUCCAUGACAAUAAAUUUGCUUAUGUGGAGAGUAAUAAAAUUUCUAUGCUUAUGCAUCAUGAAAAUAAUGAUUUAUGUGAUAGUUAUAUUGUUGAAUUCAUUCAUGAUGCUACUGAAAAUUAUUAUGAAGGAGGAAUAUAUGCUUGUAGGAGUUGCAAUAAUAUCAAGUUUCCUCUCUAUGUGUUGAAAAUCUUGGAGAUUUGCUUAUUUUACCUUCCUAUGCAAGUUGAUUGUUGUUCCCACAAGUUGUUUGCUCACAAAAUCCCUAUGAAUAGGAAGUGGGUUAGACUUAAAUGUGCUAGUAAUAUUUUUCAUGAUGCUCUCUUUAUGUUUCAAUUCUUAUCCUUUAUGUGAGCAUCAUUGAAAUCAUCAUGCCUAGCUAGGGGCGUUAAACGAUAGUGCUUGUUGGGAGGCAACCCAAUUUUAUUUUUGUUCCUUGCUUUUGGUUAUGUUUAGUAAUAAAUAAUUCAUAUAGCCUCUGUUUAGAUGUGGCUUUCUGCUUUUAAUUAGUGUUUGUGCCAAGUAGAACCUUUGGGAAGACUUGGGGGAAGUUUUAGCGAUCUUGCUGUAAAAAACAGAAACUUUAGCGCUCACGAGAUUUGCUGCCAUUUUUUACUAGAGAGUGAGAUUAGGUUGAUUAUUUUUCAGAUGAUUAAUAGACAAAUUCCUCACGUCCACCAUUUUAUUUCAGAAUUUUUGGGGUUACCGAAGUAUUCGAAACCUACAGAUUACUAUAGACUGUUCUGUUUUUGACAGAUUCUGUUUUUCGUGUGUUGUUUGCUUAUUUUGAUGCAUCUAUGGCUAGUAUCGGAGGGUAUGAACCAUAGAGAAGUUGGAAUAAAGUAUUUUUAACACCAACAUAAAUAAAUAAUGAGUUCAUUACAGUAACUUAAGUGGUGGUUUGUUUCUUAUACUAACGGAGCUCAUGAGAUUUUCUGUUGAGUUUUGUGUUGUGAAGUUUUCAAGUUUUGGGUAAAGAUUUGAUGGAUUUUGGAAUAAGAAGUGGCAAGAGCCUAAGCUUGGGGAUGCCCAAGGCACCCCAAGUUAAAAUACAAGGACAACCAAAAGCCUAAGCUUGGGGAUGCCCCAGAAGGCAUCCCCUUCUAUCGGUAACUUUACUUGAGGCUAUAUUUUUAUUCACCACAUGAUAUGUGUUUUGCUUGGAGCGUCUUGUAUGAUUUGAGUCUUUGAUUUUUAGUUUACCACAAUCAUCCUUGCUGUACACACCUUUUGGGAUUGACACACAUGAAUUGGAAUUUAUUAGAAUACUAUAUGUGCUUCACUUAUAUCUUUUGAGCUAGAUAAUUUUGCUCUAGUGCUUCACUUAUAUGUUUUAGAGCACGAUGGUGGUUUUAUUUUAUAGAAAUUAUUGAUCUCUCAUGAUUCACUUAUAUUAUUUUGAGAGUCUUAGAACAGCAUGGUAAUUUGCUUUGGUUAUAAAAUUAGUCCUAAUAUGAUAGGCAUCCAAGAUGGAUAUAAUAAAAACUUUCAUAUAAGUGCAUUGAAUACUAAGAGAAGUUUGAUACUUGAUGAUUGUUUUGAGAUAUGGAGAUGGUGAUAUUAGAGUCAUUCUAGUUGAUUAGUUGUGAAUUUGAGAAAUACUUGUUCUAAAGUUUAUGAUUCCUGUAGCAUGCACGUAUGGUGAACCGUUAUGUGAUGAAGUCCGAGCAUGAUUUAUUUAUUGAUUGUCUUCCUUAUGAGUGGCGGUCGGGGAUGAGCGAUGGUCUUUUCCUACCAAUCUAUCCCCUAGGAGCAUGCGCGUAGUACUUUGUUUCGAUAACUAAUAGAUUUUUGCAAUAAGUAUGUGAGUUCUUUAUGACUAAUGUUGAGUCCAUGGAUUAUACGCACUCUCACCCUUCCACCAUUUCUAGCCUCUCUAAUACCGCGCACCUUUCGCCGGUAUCAUACACCCACCAUAUACCUUCCUCAAAACAGCCACCAUACCUACCUAUUAUGGCAUUUCCAUAGCCAUUCCGAGAUAUAUUGCCAUGCAACUUUCCAUCGUUCCAUUUAUUAUGACACGUUCCAUCAUUGCCAUGUUGCCUUGAAUGAUCAUGUAGUUGACAUCGUAUUUGUGGCAAAGCCACCUUUCAUAAUUCUUUCAUACAUGUCACUCUUGAUUCAUUGCAUAUCCCGAUACACCACCUGAGGCAUUCACAUAGAGUCAUAUUUUGUUCUAAGUAUUGAGUUGCAAUCUUUAAGUAGUAAAUAAAUAAAAGUGUGAUGAUCAUCAUUAUUAGAGCAUUGUCCCAAGUAAGGAAAGGAUGAUGGAGACUACGAUUCCCCCACAAGUCGGGAUGAGACUCCGGACGAAAAGAAAAAGAAAGAAAGAAAAGAGGCCAAAAAAAGAAGAAGGCCCAAAUAAAAAAAUUGAAAAAAUGAGAGAAAAAGAGAGAAGGGACAAUUCUACUAUCCUUUUACCACACUUGUGCUUCAAAGUAGCACCAUGAUCUUCAUGAUAGAGAGUCCUAUGUUGUCACUUUCAUAUACUAGUGGGAAUCUUUCACUAUAGAACUUGGCUUGUAUAUUCCAAUGAUGGGCUUCCUCAAAAUGCCCUAGGUCUUCGUGAGCAAGUGAGUUGGAUGCACAUCCACUUAGUUUCUUUUUGAGCUUUCAUACACUUAUAUCUCUAGUGCAUCCGUUGCAUGGCAAUCCCUACUCACUCACAUUAAUAUCUAUUGAUGGGCAUCUCCAUAGCCCAUUGAUACGCCUAGUUGACGUGAGACUAUAUUCUCCAUUUUGUCUUCUCCACAACCACCAUUCUAUUCCACCUAUAGUGCUAUGUCCAUGGCUGACGCUCAUGUAUUACGUGAAGAUUGAAAAAGUUUGAGAACAUCAAAAGUAUGAAACAAUUGCUUGGCUUGUCAUCGGGGUUGUGCAUGAUUUAAAUAUUUUGUGUGAUGAAGAUAGAGCAUAGCCAGACUAUAUGAUUUUAUAGGGAUAGCUUUCUUUGGCCAUGUUAUUUUUAGAAGACAUGAUUACUUUGUUAGUAUGCUUGAAGUAUUAUUAUUUUUAUGUCAAUAUUAAACUUUUGUCUUGAAUCUUAUGGAUAUGAAUAUUCUUGCCACAAUAAAGAGGAUUACAUAAUAAAUAUGUUAGGUAGCAUUCCACAUCAAAAAUUCUGUUUUUAUCAUUUACCUACUCGAGGACGAGCAAGAAUUAAGCUUGGGGAUGCUUGAUACGUCUCCAACAUAUCUAUACUUUUUGAUUGUUCCAUGCUAUUAUAUUAUCAACCUUGGAUGUUUUAUAUGCAAUUGUAUAUGAUUUUUGGGACUAACCUAUUAACCUAGAGCCCAGUGCCACUUUAUGUUUUUUCCUUGUUUUUGAGUAUCGCAGAAAAGGAAAAUCAAACGGAGUCCAAUUGACCUGAAAUUUCACGGAGAUCAUUUUUGGACCAGAAGAAGCCUAUGGAGUACCAGAGAUGGGCCAGAAGAGUCCCGAGGCCACCACGAGGGUGGGGGGCGCGCCCUACCCCCUGGGCGUGCCCCCUACCUCGUGGCCGCCUCGGGGACCCCCCGACUUGUUCCUGACUCCAACACCUCUUAUAUAACCCCAAACUUCCAGAAAGAAACCUAGAUCGGGAGUUCCGCCGCCGCAAGUCUCUGUAACCACCGAAAACCAAUCUAGACCCGUUCCGGCACCCUGACGGAGGGGGGAAUCCCUCUCCGUUGGCCAUCUUCAUCAUCCCGGCGCUCUCCAUGACGAGGAGGGAUUAGUUCACCCUCAGGGCUGAGGGUAUGUACCAGUAGCUAUGUGUUUGAUCUCUCUCUCUCUCUCUCUCUCUCUCUCUCGUGUUCUUGAUUUGGCACGAUCUUGAUGUAUCGCGAGCUUUGCUAUUAUAGUUGGAUCUUAUGAUGCUUCUCCCCCUCUACUCUCUUGUAAUCGAUUGAGUUUUCCCUUUGAAGUUUUCUUAUCGAUUGGGUCUUUAAGGAUUUGAGAACACUUGAUGUAUGUCUUGCAUGUGCUUAUCUGUGGUGACAAUGGGGUAUCACGUGAUCCACUUGAUGUAUGUUUUGGUGAUCAACUUGCGAGUUCCGUGACCUUGUGAACUUAUGCAUAGGGGUUGGCACACAUUUUCGUCUUGACUCUCGGGUAGAAACUUUGGGGCACUCUUUGAAGUUCUUUGUGUUGGUUGAAUAGAUGAAUCUGAGAUUGUGUGAUGCAUAUCGUAUAAUCAUACCCACGGAUACUUGAGGUGACAUUGGAGUAUCUAGGUGACAUUAGGGUUUUGGUUGAUUUGUGUCUUAAGGUGUUAUUCUAGUAUGAACUCUAUGAUAGAUUGAACGGAAAGAAUAGCUUCGUGUUAUUUUACUACGGACUCUUGAAUAGAUCGAUCAAAAAUAAUAACUUUGAGGUGGUUUCAUACCCUACAUUAAUCUCUUCGUUUGUUCUCUGCUAUUAGUGACUUUGGAGUGACUCUUUGUUGCAUGUUGAGGGAUUGUUAUAUGAUCUAAUUAUGUUAUUAUUGUUGAGAGAACAUGCACUAGUGAAAGUAUGAACCUUAGGCCUUGUUUCCUAGCAUUGCAAUACCGUUUGUGCUCACUUUACCACUUGCUACCUUGCUGUUUUUAUAUUUUCAGAUUACAAAAACCUAUAACUACCAUCCAUAUUGCACUUGUAUCACCAUCUCUUCGCCGAACUAGUGCACCUAUACAAUUUACCAUUGUAUUGGGUGUGUUGGGGACACAAGAGAGUCUUUGUUAUUUGGUUGCAGGGUUGCUUGAGAGAGACCAUCUUCAUCCUACGCCUCCCACAGGUUGAUAAACCUUAGGUCAUCCACUUGAGGGAAAUUUUCUACUGUCCUAGAAACCUCUGCACUUGGAGGCCCAAUAACGUCUACAAGAAGAAGGUUGUGUAGUAGACAUCAUCUGCCAAGUUUACUGAACAUGAUAGAGCAGAAUGUGCGGUGAACGUCAAUAUUUGCAUAGAUAAAACUCAACAGCCAGACUGAUGAUAAUAAUACUUCAACUCUGCAUAUUUAGCCCCCAAGGGUAGGUUUAACAAUUUAUGUUAAGCCAGGACUUUUGAAUAUUAGAGAUAAACAUUGCAUCCCUGACCAGACUUUUGAUGGACCGGAGGGGAGAGUGUGUCCACAUACCCUCGUAGACCGAAAGCGGAAGCGUUAAGUAACGGGGUUGAUGUAGUCAAACAUCUUCGCGAUCCAACCGAUCAAGUACCGAACACACGACACCUUCGUGAUGUGCACACGUUCAGCUCGAUGACGUCCAUCGAACUCUAGAUCCAGCUGAGGCCAAGGGAGAGUUUCGUCAGCACGAUGGCGUGUUGACGGUGAUGAUGAAGUUAUCGACGCAGGGCUUCGCCUAAGCACUACGACAAUAUGAUCGAGGUGGAAAUCUGUGGAGGGGGGCACCGCACAUGGCUAAUAACAACUUGUGUGUCUAUGGGGUGCCCCCUCCCCCAUAUAUAAAGGAGUGGAGGAGGGGGAGGGCCGGCCUCCUAGGGCGCACCCCAAGGGGGUAUUCCUACUCCCACUAGGAGUAGGUUUCCCCCUUUUCCUAGUCUAACUAGGAGGGGGAAGGAAGGGAAGAGGGAGAGAAGGAAAGGGGGGGGGGCCCCAAACCCUACCCCAAUUCGGAUUGGGCCUAGGGAGGGCACGCGCCACACCUGGCCGCCUCCUCCUCUCUUCCACUAUGGCCCAUCAAGGCCCAUUAACUCCCCGGGGGGUUCCGGUAACCCCCGGUACUCCAGAAAAUACUCGAUACACCUCGAAACCAUUCCAGUAUCCGAAUAUAGUCAUCCAAUAUAUCACUCUUCAUGUAUUGACCAUUUCGAGACUCCUCGUCAUGUCCGUGAUCUCAUCCAGGCCUCUGAACUAACUUUGGUACAUCAAAACACAUAAACUCAUAAUACCGAUCGUCAUCGAACAUUAAGCGUGCGGAACCUACGGGUUCGAGAACUAUGUAGACAUGUCCGAGACUCAUCUCCGGUCAAUAACCAAUAGCGAAACCUGGAUGCUCAUAUUGGUUCCUACAUAUACUACGAAGAUCUUUAUCGGUCAAACCGUAUAACAACAUACGUUGUUCCCUUUGUCAUCGGUAUGUUACUUGCCCGAGAUUCGAUCGUCGGUAUCAUCAUACCUAGUUCAAUAUCGUUACUAGCAAGUAUCUUUACUCGUUCUGUAAUGCAUCACCCCGCAACUAACUCAUUAGUCACAUUGCUUGCAAUGCUUAUAGUGAUGUGCAUUACCAAGAGGGCCCAGAGACACCUCUCCGACAAUCGGAGUGACAAAUCCUAAUCUCGAUCUAUGCCAACUUAACAAACACCAUCGGAGACACAUGUAGAGCAUAUUUAUAAUCACCCAGUUACGUUGUGACAUUAGAUAGCACACUAAGUGUUCCUCCGGUAUUCGGGAGUUGCAUAAUCUCAUAGUCAUAGGAACAUGUAUAAGUUAAGUAGAAAGCAAUAGCAAUAAACUAAAUGAUCAUAGUGCUAAGCUAACGGAUGAGUCAAGUCAAUCACAUCAUUCUCUAAUGAUGUGAUCCCAUUCAUCAAAUGACAACUCAUGUCUAUGGCUAGGAAACUUAACCAUCUUUGAUUAACGAGCUAGUCAAGUAGAUGUAUACUAGUGAUAGUUUCUUUGUCUAUGUAUUCACACAUGUACUAAGUUUCUGGUUUAUACAAUUCUAGGAUGAAUAAUAAAAAUUUAUCAUGAUAUAAGGAAAUAUAAAUAACAACUUUAUUAUUUCCUCUAGGGCAUAUUUCCUUUAGUCUCCCACUUGCACUAGAGUCAACAAUCUAGAUUACAUUGUAAUGAUUCUAACACCCAUGGAGUCUUGGUGCUGAUCAUGUUUUGCUCGUGAGAGAGGCUUAGUCAACAGGUCUGCAACAUUCAGAUCCAUAUGUAUCUUGCAAAUCUCUAUGUCUCACUCCUUGACUUGAUCGCGGAUGAAAUUGAAGCAUCUCUUGAUGUGCUUGGUUCUCUUGUGAAAUCUGGAUUCUUUUGCCAAGGCAAUUGCACCAGUAUUGUCACAACAGAUUUUCAUUGGACCCGAUGCACUAGGUAUGACACCUAGAUCGGAUAUGAACUCCUUCAUCUAGACUCCUUCAUUUGCUGCUUCCGAAGCAGCUAUGUAUUCCGCUUCGCAGUAGAUCCUGCCACGAUGCUUUGCUUAGAACUGCACCAAUUGAUAGCUCCACCAUUCAAUAAAAAUACAUAUCCGGUUUGUGACUUAGAGUCAUCCGGAUCAGUGUCAAAGCUUGCAUCGACGUAACCAUUUACGACAAGCUCUUUGUCACCUCCAUAAAUGAGAAACAUAUCCUUAGUCCUUUUCAGGUAUUUUAGGAUAUUCUUGACCGCUGUCCAGUGAUCCACUCCUAGAUUACUUUGGUACCUCCUUGCUAAACUAAUAGCAAGGCACACAUCAAGUCUGGUACACAACAUUGCAUACAUAAUAGAACCUAUGGCUGAAGCAUAGGGAAAUACUUUCAUUUUCUCUCUAUCUUCUGAAGUGGUCGGGCAUUGAGUCUGACUCAACUUCACACCAUGUAACACAGACAAGAAACCUUUCUUCACUUGAUCCAUUUUGAACUUCUUCAAAACUUUAUCAAGGUAUGUGCUUUGUGAAAGUCCAAUUAAGCGUCUUGAUCUAUCUCUAUAGAUCUUGAUGCCCAAUAUAUAAGCAGCUUCACCGAGGUCUUUCAUUGAAAAAUUCUUAUUCAAGUAUCCUUCUAUGCUAUUCAGAAAUUCAGUAUCAUUUCCAAUCAACAAUAUGUCAUCCACAUAUAAUAUUAGAAAUGGUACAGAGCUCCCACUCACUUUCUUGUAAAUACAGGAUUCUCCAAAAGUCUGUAUAAAACCAUAUGCUUUGAUCACACUAUCAAAGCGUAUAUUCAAACUCCGAGAUGCCUGCACCACUCCAUAAAUGGAUCGCUGGAGCUUACACACUUUGUUAGCACCUUUUGGAUUGACAAAACCUUUUGGUUGCAUCAUAUUCAACUCAUUCUUUAAGAUAUCCAUUAAGGAAUGCAGUUUUGACAUCCAUUUGCCAAAUUUCAUAAUCAUAAAAUGCGGCAAUUGCUAACAUGAUUCAGACAGACUUAAGCAUCGCUACAGGUGAGAAGGUCUCUUUGUAGUCAACUCCUUGAACUUGUCGAAAACCUUUCGCAACAAGUCGAGCUUUGUAGACAGUAACAUUACCGUCAGCGUCAGUCUACUUCUAGAAGAUCCAUUUAUUCUCUAUGGCUUGCCGAUCAUUGGGCAAGUCAACCAAAGCCCACACUUUGUUCUCAUACAUGGAUCCCAUCUCAGAUUUCAUGGCGUCAAGCCAUUUUGGGGAAUCUGGGCUCAUCAUCGCUUCCUCAUAGUUCGUAGGUUCAUCAUGGUCAAGUAACAUGACUUCCAGAACAAGAUUACCGUACCACUCUGGUGCGGAUCUUAUUCUGGUUGACCUAUGAGGUUCGUUAGUAACUUGAUCAGAAGUUUCAUGAUCAUCAUCAUUAGCUUCCUCACUAAUUGGUGUAGGAAUCACUGGAACUGAUUUCUGUGAUGAACUACUUUCCAAUAAGGGAGCAGGUACAAUUACCUCAUCAAGUUCUACUUUCCUCCCACUCACUUAUUUCGAGAGAAACUCCUUCUCUAGAAAGGAUUCAUUCUUAGAAACGAAUAUCUUGCCUUCGGAUCUGUGAUAGAAGGUGUACCCAAUAGUCUCCUUUGGGUAUCCUAUGAAGACACAUUUCUCCGAUUUGAGUCCGAGCUUAUCAGGUUGAAGCUUUCUCACAUAAGCAUCGCAGCCCCAAACUUUAAGAAACGACAACUUGGGUUUCUUGCCAAACCACAGUUCAUAUGGUGUCGUCUCAACAGAUUUCAAUGGUGCCCUAUUUAACGUGAAUGCAACCGUCUCUAAAGCAUAACCCCAAAACGAUAGCGGUAAAUUAGUAAGAGACAUCAUAGAUCACACCAUAUCUAAUAAAGUGCGGAUACGACAUGCAGACACACCAUUACGCUGUGGUGUUCCAGGUGGCGUGAGUUGCGAAACUAUUACGCAUUGUUUCAAAUGAAGACCAAACUCGAAUAUUCUCCUCCACGAUCAGAUCGUAGAAACUUUAUUUUCUUGUUACAAUGAUUUUCUACUUCACUCUGAAAUUCUUUGAACUUUUCAAAUGUUUCAGACUUAUGUUUCAUUAAGUAGAUAUACCCAUAUUUGCUCAAAUCAUCUGCGAAGGUAAAAAAAUAACGAUACCCACCACGAGCAUCUACACUCAUCAGACUGCAUACAUCGGUAUGUAUUAUUUCCAAUAAGUCUGUUGCUCGUUCCAUUGUUCCGGAGAACGGAUUCUUAGUCAUCUUGCCCAUGAGGCAUGGUUCACAAGCAUCAAGUGAUUCAUAAUCAGGUGAUUCCAAAAGCCCAUCAGCAUGGAGUUUCUUCAUGAGCUUUACACCAAUAUGACCUAAAAGGCAGCGCCACAAAUAAGUUGCACUAUUAUUAUUAAACUUAUAUCUUUUGGCUUCAAUAUUAUGAAUAUGUGAAUCACUACUAUCAAGAUUUAGUAAAAAUAGACCACUCAUCAAGGGUGCAUGACCAUAAAAGAUAUUACUCAUAUAAAUAGAACAACCAUUAUUCUCUGAUUUAAAUGAAUAACCGUCUUGCAUCAAACAAGAUCCAGAUAUAAUGUUCAUGCUUAACGCUGGCACCAAAUAACAAUUAUUCAGGUCUAAAACUAAUCCUGAAGGUAGAUGUAGAGGUAGCAUGCCGACGGCAAUCACAUCGACUUUGGAACCAUUUCCCACGCGCAUCGUCACCUCGUCCUUAGCUAAUCUUAGCUUAAUCCGUAGCCCAUGUUUCGAGUUGCAAAUAUUAGCAACAGAACCAGUAUCAAAUACCCAGGUGCUACUGCGAGCAUUAGUAAGGUACACAUCAAUAACAUGUAUAUCAAAUAUACCUUACACUUUGCCAUCCUUCUUAUCCGCCAAAUACUCGGGGCAGUUCCGCUUCCAGUGAUCAGUCCCUUUGCAGUAGAAGCACUCAGUCUCAGGCUUAGGUCUAGACUUGGGCUUCUUCACUUGAGCAGCAACUUGCUUUUCUUCUUGAAGUUCCCCUUCUUCCCUUUGCCCUUCUUCUUGAAACUGGUGGUCUUGUUGACCAUCAACACUUGAUGCUCCUUCUUGAUUUCCACCUCCGCAACUUUUAGCAUCGCGAAGAGUUCGGGAAUUGUCUUAUCCAUCUCUUGCAUAUUAUAGUUCAUCACGAAGCUUUUCUAGCUUGGUGGCAGUGAUUGAAGAACUCUGUCAAUGACACUAUCAAUUGGAAGAUUAGCUCCCAGCUGAGUCAAGUGAUUGUGGUACCUAGACAUUCUGAGUAUGUGUUCACUGACAUAACUAUUCUCCUCCAUCUUGCAGCUAUAGAACUUAUUGGAGACUUCAUAUCUCUCAAUCCAGGCAUUUGCUUGAAAUAUUAACUUCAACUCCUGGAACAUCUCAUAUGCUCCAUGACGUUCAAAACGUCGUUGAAGUCCCGGUUCUAAGCCGUAAAGCAUGACACACUGAACUAUCUAGUAGUCAUCAGCUUUGCUCUGACAGACGUUCUUAACGUCAUCAGUAGCAUCUGCAGCAGGCCUAGCACCUAGCGGUGCUUCCAGGACGUAAUUCUUCUAUGCAACAAUGAGGAUAAUCCUCAAGUUACGGACCCAGUCCGUGCAGUUGCUACCAUCAUCUUUCAACUUAUCUUUCUCUAGGAACGCAUUAAAAUUCAACGGAACAACAGCACAGGCCAUUUAUCUACAACAACAUAGACAUGCAAAAUACUAUCAUGUAAUAAGUUCAUGAUGAAUUAAAGUUCAAUUGAUCAUAUUACUUAAGAACUCCCACUUAGAUAGACAUCCCUCUAAUCAUCUAAGUGAUCAUGUGAUCCAUAUCAACUAAACCAUCUUCGAUGAUCACGUGAGAUGGAGUAGUUUUCAAUGGUGAACACCACUAUGCUGAUCAUAUCUACUAUAUGAUUCACGCUCGACCUUUUGGUCUCAGUGUUCCGAGGCCAUAUCUACAUACGCUAGGCUCGUCAAGUUUAACCUGAGUAUUCUGCUUGUGCAAAACUGGCUUGCACCGUUGUAUGUGAAUAUAGAGCUUAUCACACCCGAUCAUCACGUGGUGUCUCGGCACGAUGAACUGUAGCAACGGUGCAUACUCAGGGAGAACACUUAUGCCUUGAAAUUUAGUGAGAGAUCAUCUUAUAAUGCUACCGCUGUACUAAGCAAAAUAAGAUGCAUAAAGGAUAAACAUCACAUGCAAUCAAUAUAAGUGAUAUGAUAUGGCCAUCAUUAUCUUGUGCCUUUGAUCUCCAUCUCCAAAGCACCGUCAUGAUCACUAUCGUCACCGGCUUGACACCUUGAUCUCCAUCGUAGCAUCGUUGUCGUCUCACCAACUAUUACUUCUACGACUAUCGCUACCGCUUAGUGAUAAAGCAAAGCAAUUACAUGGUGAUACAUCCCCGUCGUAUCUACUUUUCCAAACACUUUUGCACUUGUUUUGGACUCUAACUUGCAUGAUUUGAAUGAAACUAACCCGGACUGACGCUGUUUUCAGCAGAAUUACCAUGGUGUUAUUUAUGUGCAGAAACAAAAGUUCUCGGAAUGACCUGAAACUUCACGGAACACCUUUUCGAAAAAUAUAAAAAAUCCCUGCAAAAGAUGAAGGCCAGGGGCCCACCACCUGUCCACGAGGGUGGGGGGCGCGCGCCCUACCUCGUGGGUCCCCUGGAGCUCCUCCGACCUCAAGUCCAACUCUAUAUAUUUGGUUUCGGGGAGAAAAAAAUUCAGAGAGAAGAAAUCAUCAUGUUUUACGAUACGGAGCCACCGCCAAGCCCUAAAACCUCUCGGGAGGGCUGAUCUGGAGUCCGUUUGGGGCUCCGAAGAGGAGAAUCCGUCGCCAUCGUCAUCAUCAACCAUCCUCCAUCACCAAUUUCAUGAUGCUCACCGUCGUGCGUGAGUAAUUCCAUCGUAGGCUUGCUAGACGGUGAUGGGUUGGAUGGGAUCUAUCAUGUAAUCGAGUUAGUUUUGUUAGGGUUUGAUCCCUAGUAUCCACUAUGUUCUGAGAUUGAUGUUGCUAUGACUUUGCUAUGCUUAAUGCUUGUCACUAGGGCCCGAGUGCCAUGAUUUCAGAUCUGAACCUAUUAUGUUUUCAUCAAUAUAUGAGAGUUCUUGAUCCUAUCUUGCAAGUCUAUAGUCACCUACUAUGUGUUAUGAUCCGUUAACCCCGAAGUGACAAUAAUCGGGAUACUUACCGGCGAUGAACGUAGUUUAAGGAGUUCAUGUAUUCAGUACGUGUUAAUGCUUUGUUCCGGUACUCAAUUAAAAGGAGGCCUUAAUAUCCCUUAGUUUCCGUAAGGACCCCGCUGCCACGGGAGGGUAGGACAAAAGAUGUCAUGCAAGUUCUUUUCCAUAAGCACGUAUGACUAUAUUUGGAAUACAUGCCUACAUUAUAUCAAUGAACUGGAGCUAGUUCUGUGUCACCCUAGGUUAUGACUGUUACAUGAUGAACCGCAUCCGGCAUAAUUCUCCAUCACUGAUCCAUUGCCUACAAGCUUUCCACAUAUUGUUCUUCACUUAUUUACUUUUCCGUUGCUAUUGCUAUCAUCACUACAAAAUACCAAAAACAUUACUUUUGCUACCGUUACCUUUUGCUACCGCUACCACUACUAUCAUAUUACUUUGCUACUAAAUACUUUUCUAUAGAUAUUAAGGUGUGGUUGAAUUGACAACUCAGCUGCUAAUACUUGAGAAUAUUCUUUGGCUCCCCUUGUGUCGAAUCAAUAAAUUUGGGUUGAAUACUCUACCCUCAAAAAUUGUUGCGAUCCCCUAUACUUGUGGGUUAUCAAGACUAUUUUCUGGCGCCGUUGCCGGGGAGCAUAGCUCUAUUCUUUGAGUCACUUGGGAUUUAUAUUUUGUUAUCAUUAUGAAGAACUUGAGAGAUCCAAAAACAAAGAUUUAUCCCUCAACUACGAGGGGAGGUAAGGAACUGCCAUCUAGCUCUGCACUUGAUUCACCUUCUGUUAUGAGUAAGCUUGCGACACCUAAACCCGCUUCUGCUAUUCGUUCUGAUAUGUCUCAUGUUAUUGAUGAUGCCACUUCUGCUAUGCAUGAUACUUAUGAUGAAACUACUUCUAUGCUUGAUACUACUGUGCCACUUGGUGAAUUUCUUGAUGAACAACUUGCUAGGGCUAGAGAGAAUGAAAAUAUUGAAUCUGAUAAUACUGAUGAAAUUGAUGAUGAAGACUUGCCUGUUAUUCCUAAGGGUUAUGUUUUUGAUAAAGAAGCUUCUUUAGCUAUUUUAGCUUGCAAAGAUAGAUACGGACUCAAGAGGUUAUUAACUAAAUGGAAUCAGCAAUCUCUAAAUGCUAGAAUGAAACCUGACCCUGCUUUUGCUACUUCACCUAUCUGUGUUACCGAUAAGGAUUAUGAAUUCUCUGUUGAUCCUAAUAUAAUUACUUUGGUUGAAUCUGAUACUUUUCAUGGUUAUGAGUCUGAAACUGUUGUGGCACAUCUUACUAAAUUAAAUGAUAUAGCUACCCUGUUUACUAAUGAUGAGAGAACUCAUUACUUUUAUAUCCUUAAAAUAUUUCCGUUCUCAUUAAAGGGUGAUGCUAAGAUAUGGUUUAAUUCUCUUGAUCCUGGUUGUGUGCGUAGUCCCCAGGAUAUGAUUUAUUACUUCUUUGCUAAAUAUUUCCCUGCUCAUAAGAAACAUGCUGCUUUAAGGGGUAUAUAUAACUUUGUGCAAAUUGAAGAAGAGAGUCUCCCACAAGCUUGGGGGAGGCUUCUCCAAUUACUUAAUGCUUUGCCUGAUCAUCCUCUUAAGAAAAAUGAAAUACUUGAUAUAUUUUAUAAUGGACUAACCGAUGCUUCCAGAGAUUACCUGGAUAGUUGUGCUAGUUCUGUUUUCAGGGAAAGAACGCCAGAUGAAGCUGAAAUUCUAUUGAAUAAUAUGUUGGCAAAUGAUAAUAAUUGGACACUUCCUGAACCAGUUCCUGAACCAACUCCUGAGCCUAUUCCUAAACCAACUCCGAAGAAGAGGGGUAUUCUAUUUCUCAGUCUUGAAGAUAUGCAAGAGGCAAAUAAGUCUAUGAAAUAAAAAGGUAUAAAGCUGAAGAUGUUAAGAAAUUACCUCCUAUUGAAGAAAUACAUGGUCUUAAUUUACCGCCUGUUGAAGAAGCAUAUGAUCCUGAUCCAUUACCUAUUGAGGAAACUCAUGUCUUGAUAACCCGACACAGGUAGUAAAGUUAAAUUCUCUCUAUAGAUAUGAUAAAGCUGAAAUCCCAUUAACUAAAUUUGCUAGCCCAUGCUUAGAUGAGUUUGAUAAAUUUAUGGCUAAGCAAGAAGACUUUAAUGCUUAUUUUGGUAGACAAUUGAAAUACAAUUCAAAUAUGCUUGAGCACUUGGGUGAUUAUAUGGCUAAUCUUAAAGGUGAACUUAAACUUAUUAGUAAACAUGCUUCUAUGGUUACCACUCAAGUAGAACAAGUACUUAAAGCUCAAAAUGACUUGCUCAAUGAAUUGAAUAGUAAGAAUAAUGAUUAUGCUGUUAGAGUGGCUACUAGAACUUGUAAAAUGACUCAGGAACCUUUGUAUCCUGAAGGCCACCCUAAGAGAAUUGAGCAAGAUUCUCAGAGAAAUAACGUGGAUGCACCUAGUCCUUCUAAUAGGAAGAAAAAGAAAAAAUGAUAGGACUUUGCAUGCUUCUAGUAAACCUAUUACUGAAACACCUGAGAAUCCAAAUGAUAUUUCUAUUUCUGAUGCUGAAACACAAUCUGGUAAUGAACCUGAAACUAGUGAUAAUGUCAUGAUAAUGUUCAUGAUGAUCCUCAACCUAGUAAUGAUAAUGAUAUAGAAAUUGAACCUGCUGUCGAUCUUGAUAACCCACAAUUAAAGAAUCAACGUUAUGAUAAGAAAGACUUUGUUGCUAGGAAACAUGAUAAAGAAAGAGAACCAUGGGUUCAGAAACCCAAGCCUUUUCCUCCCAAACCAUCCAAGAAAAAGGAUGAUGAGGAUUUUGAGCGCUUUGCUGAAAUGAUUAGACCUAUCUUUUUGCGUAUGCGAUUAACUGAUAUGCUCAAAAUGAAUCCUUAUGCUAAGUAUAUGAAAGAUAUUGUUACAAAUAAAAGAAAGAUACCAGAAGCUGAAAUUUCCACCAUGCUUGCUAAUUAUACUUUUGAGGGUGGAAUACCAAAGAAACUUGGAGAUCCAGGAGUACCCACUAUACCAUGCUCCAUUAAAAGAAACUAUGUUAAAAUUGCUUUAUGUGAUCUUGGAGCCGGUGUUAGUGUUAUGCCUCUCCCUUUAUAUCGUAGACUUGAUUUGAAUAAGUUGACACCUACUGAAAUAUCUUUGCAAAUGGCCGAUAAAUCAACUGCUAUACCUGUCGGUAUUUGUGAGGAUGUGCCUGUUGUAGUUGCAAACGUCACUAUUUUAACGGACUUUGUUAUUCUUGAUAUUCCCGAGGACGAUAGUAUGUCUAUUAUUCUUGGAAGACCCUUUUUGAAUACUGCAGGGGCUGUUAUUGAUUGCACUAAAGGCAAUGUCACUUUUCAUGUUAAUGGUAAUGAGCAUACGGUAUACUUUCCGAGGAAACAACCUCAAGUCCACAGUGUCAACUCUAUUGGAAAAUGUCCAUCGAUUAUAUUUGGAGGUUUUGAAUUUCCUCUUCCUACUGUCAAGAAGAAAUAUGAUAUUCUUAUUAUUGGGGAUGUGCAUAUCCCCGUUGAGGUAACAUAGUGUUAUUUGAAAUUUCUCCGGUUCCAUGUUAUUCGGAAUGAGUUUGUUAACAAGACCUGAUCAACCUUGUUAGUGGAUUCCUUUUGAUGAGCAUGAGAUGGAUGAAACUAGAAGACACAACCUUCUGUACCCCACUUUUACUUUAUGUUAUUUAUAUUAAAUAAAAUAAAAAUAAAUAUUUUUUGCCUGUUAUCUGAUUAUCCGUGCAAUAUAAAAAUACCCUAAAAAUAAAAGUUCUCCAAAUGGCCUGAAAUUUAAAUAUGAUUUUUUCUAGAAUAUUUGAGAAUAUUUGGCACUGAGAACACAGCAGGGGGGUCAUCCAUCUGGCCACGAGGGUGGAGGGCGCGCCCUACCCCCUGGGCGCGCCCCCUGCCUCGUGGGCCCAAGGUAGCCCCCUCCACAUAUCCUUUCACCCACACACUCCUUCUUCCUCCCACAAACACGAAUAACCAGCUCAAACCCGAGUCAAAGCUCAUUUUGCUGCCAUUUUCGAUCUCCUUGCUCAAAGCACCUCUCACAAAACUGCUUGGGGAGAUUGUUCCUUGGUAUGUGACUCCUCCAUUGGUCCAAUUAGUUUUUGUUCUAGUGCUUUAUUCAUUGCAAAUUUGUGCUGCCUAGGUGACCAUGUUCUUGAACUUGCAUGUCAAAUUUAUAUGGUUCCAAGUAGUUUUAAUGCAUGAUAUAGGCUCUAGGCACUUGUAGGAGUAGUUGCUAUCAAUAUUAUUGAAUUUGGUUUACUUUUAUUUUGAAGUCACUAAAAAAUUUCAGAUUUUUUCAGAGGAAUAAAUAUGCUUAGGAAAAUGUUCCAAGGUGGUUCUUCAAGGAAGUAAAGACCCAGGCUUGCAAUGCGUGAUGCUGAUGAAGACUUACCAAGAGACGCUCCGAUGCGUCCUUGUGAAUGGCCUUUUGAAAACUUUAUGGAUCGAGCGGGAAUUAAGGAAUAAUUUAACGCAAUUUGCGUAACGCGGAUCUUGUGAGCUUCGAGAAAGAGAAGUGCAGCCAGUAUCACUAUUAGUUCCUUUGUGAGGAGGUUUGAAUUUUCAUCUUCAAGUAAUUCCCCAGCUGUCCUGUUUGAUCUUUAUGAAAAUUCUUAUACCAUGGACUUAGAGGAUUUUACCACUACUUGCAAACUUCCACAAUGGGGUAGUAUCAGGGAUCCUUGCAAAUCUGAAUUUAGAGAUUUUCUUGCUAGUAUAACUAUGGGGGAAUCUAGAGAUAUAACACAAGCUACCAUAGGGAGCAUUCAUUUUCCUGCUAUACAUUAUUUUGCUCUCUUCAUAGGUAGAUGCAUAAAUGGUAAAGAUGAAGCAUGUCAUAUGUGUGUUCCUGACCUCAAUAUUCUUAGGAGUGCUGUGUUAGGAGACAAAUCUUAUAAUUUGGGAGCCAUUGUUGCACGUAGGUUGCAUCCUAAUAGAUUUAAUGGAGAUUUCUUUGGUGGAAUUUAUGCAACCCGCAUUGCUAAUUUUCUUGGUAUAGCCAUACGCGAGGAUGAGAUUGAGUUGCCUCCUGCUUAUUUAGAUUUUAAUGCUAUGGUUCACCACCAGUUUGUCGAGAGGAAUGAAUCACCUCUCCAGUAUCGACUAAUCUUUGAUAGACGACGUGCUGUCCGUAUUACUCUCCCUGCUCCUGCCUUCUUUGAUUAUCAGGCAAAAGGAAGAUAUGUUAUUACCAGAGAGGAGGCAGAUGAGUAUGAGAGGAGAGCGGAGGCCGCUCGUCGCCACGCUGCAGCCCAGGAGGCGAUAGCCGCUGCAUCGCAGUACGACCCCAACUAUUAUUAUGGAUAUCCGCCAGGCCAGCCGUGGCCAUAGACCAACUUAGGCCAAAAGCCUAAGCUUGGGGGAGUACGUAUUUCCCACCGACACUACAUUUAUGUUCACACACUCAUUGCUAGAUGUCGGUGCUCAUACUUUUUCAUUGUAUCAUCCAUGCUACUUUACUUUCCUUUUUGUAGCGACCAGACCUCAAACAGUCUGAUCUCUGUGCUCUGGUGUCAUCCCUGGAUCAGUAAUGCUGACACCACACAGUACUCGAAGGAUUUAUAGCAGAGUAGCAAUCACACACUUAUUACAUCGAGUGCCUCAAAAGAGAACUUAUUACAAUAAAUAUGGCUUAAGGCCAUCUAAUAACGAUAACAGUGGAAGGCUUGGAAGAUAAGUGAGCCCAUCAACUCCAACGGCAUCACUGAGUAUAGAACCACGACCUAAAGACUCCUUAAUCGUCGUCUGAAAAGUCUGCAACAUUAACGUUGCAGCCUGAAAACGGGUCAGCACAUGGAAUAUGCUGGCAAGGUAACACAUAGAGAGUAAUGGAAUGCAACAGCUAUACUAUAUGCAUAUUUGGCUGGUGGAAAGCUCUAUGGUUACAGUUUUUGCGUAAAGUCAAAUUUUCCCUACUUCAAAGGAAUAAAUUUAAUUACUAUCAUGGUGGUUGUUAAACAUUGAGAAUGGUUGACAGCAUUCUCAAUCCCAAUUAAAGUAACAUCAUUAAACCCAACAAAAUUUACUUUAGAGUAACAUGUUGGGAUUCACAUGAUAAUCCAGGUACUAGAUACUCAAGAUGUCCAUAACCGGGGACACGGCUAACCAUGAUUAGUUUGUUACACUCUGCAGAGGUUUGCGCACUUUUCCCCACAAGACUCGAUCGCCUCCGUUGGAUUUCUCGCACUACAUGGUGUUUGAGAAACGGAUGACCGAGACAUAGUCUUUCAGAAGCGCUAGCACCUUACGAUCGGGUAGACCGUACCACCUACAUCCCCUACAUCUGCUAGCCUACCCUGUAAGAGUUCACACGACUUAAUCAACUAUGCCAGAGCCCAUAAUGGCUUGUGGCUGCACACGGAAGUUUCUAGUAUGACUAAUCUCAUGAUCCCUUUGAGCCUGGGUGGCGGUCCAAAAGAAAAACAGGCAAGUCCUGGAAUACCCAGGUGCCUCAAUCCACCCAGAUGUGUGUUUAAGUUGCCACCUUAGAUAAACCAUUAAUUAACCAUCUCACAUCUGUCAUGGAUAUCACUCACCCAAUCCACGUCUACUAGCAUAGCAUGGCAUAAUAAGCAAACGUAGAAAAUAACUCCCAAAGGUUUGAUAAUAAACAAGUAAUAGGUACUACCUCAUCUACUUCCCAUCCCACAAUUUAAUUAGAUCCUAAUCAUGCAAGGUGUGAGGAUUGAUCUAAUGCAAUAAAACUGGGUUGUAGAAAAGGUAUGAUCAAAGUGUUACUUGCCUUGCUGAUGAUCCGCGAAACCUAGAGAUUCAAAGUAACAGGCGGCGCACUCCGGGUAUUCUAUCGCAGACAAACAAACAAGCAUACAAUAAGUACUCAUCUAAUGCACAGGUAAAACUCAAAUAGAAGAUCUAACCAGAAAGUUCAACUUAAGAACCCUGGUUUGCAAAAAGAAUCAAAUCGAACGAAGCAAAAGAAAUCAAAUGGCGAAAGAAAACAACUUCGUUCUAGUAAUCUGGAUCUAAGUCAAAUUUUACAGUAGCAAAAACUUGUUCAAGUUGAUUAUUCAGAAAGAGGGUUUCGAGAUGAAACUCCAGGCGCUUGAAUCGCCUGAUUCCGAUAAACGAGCGAAAAGUUAUACUAAAAUGAAAAUUGAAUCAGAAAUCGCGAUCAGAAAAUAACCGCGGAAAAAUCUGACGAAAAAGAAAAACGACGAACGGAAUUUUUAUUUCCUAAAAAAACGGCACGGAUUUCGAGGGCGGCGAACCUCGGGCGAAGCGUGGCUCCAGCGGAUCAGCGGCGGCGGCGGCUGGCGGCGGUGGCUGGCGGCGGCUGGGCUGGCGGCGGCUGGGCCUAGGGUUUCGGGGCGGCUGGCCUUUGGGCUGGCUUGCCCCAGCUUAUAAAGGCCCCGGCCAGGGGAGUCCUGGCCGAGUACGGCCCAUAGUCGGUUCCGCUCUUUUUUUUAAAUAAUUACGCUCGGAAAUAAAAUAAAAAGAAAUACUAAACGGACUCCAAAAUUCCUGAAAUAAAUUUUCCUGGAUUUCUAGAAUCAAGCCCGAUAAAGUGAACAUUUAUUUUGGCCCUAAAUGCAAUUUUGAAAAACGCGCAUUUUUCCUAAAUUCAAAUAAAAAAUACCGAAAAACUCCGAAAUAAAUCUUAUUUGAUUUUUUUUAUUAAAUCCUCAAUAUUUCUAUAUUUUGGGAAAGUCAUUUUAUUCACUCUCUCAUAUUUUUGUAAUAGAAAUAAUUGAUGAUAAAAUAAAUAAAAUCAAAUGAUCCAGUUUACAAAAUUUGAGAAAACUCAAAUAUGUAAAUAACAAAAUCCCCAACUCUCUCCGUGGGUCCUUGAGUUGCUUAGGAUUUUCUAGGAUCAAAACCAAAAGCAAAAAUAAAAUAUGAUAUGCAUGAUGAUCUAAUGUAUAACAUUCCAAAUUGAAAAUUUGGGAUGUUACACUUUUUAUGCUUUCUUCUUGUGUGUUUAAUAAACCUUAAGCAAAACCAAAAAAAAUUAGUUAUAGCUUUUAAUUAGUUUACUUUCCAUGCUUGUAGUAGUAAUUAGAAAGAAAACCCAAAAAGAUUUCCUGUUCUUCUUUUUCUUGUUGGGAACUUUCUCGUGUAAAUAGUUUUAUUUCUUUUCUUUUCUUUGGGGGUCGAUAGGAGAAGACCAUGAUUAAAUUGUUGAAGUGACUCUUAUUUGCAUUAUUGUUGAUCUGACAAAAAAUCUCAUAUUGCCUUGUCUUCUCCUGUUUAUUGAAUGCUUGCAGAUUCCAGCUUAGUCCAAUGCACGCGCACUAUUAUUAUUAUUCACAUCGUUCGGCCGUGCAAGUGAAAGGCAAUUAUGACGAUAUAUGAUGGACUGACUGAGAUGAGAAAAGCUGAUAUGAACUCGACCUCUUUUGUUUUUGUAAAUAUGAUUAGUUCAUCGUUCCUGAUUCAGCCUAUUAUGAAUAAACAUGUUUGCAAUGACAACUAGAGAUCAUAGUUUCUUGUGCCAUGCUUGAUUAACUAUGAGUUGUAAUGGUUUACCUUGCAUGCCAACAUGCUAUUAAAAUGGUUAUGAUGUGGUAUGAUAGGGUGGUAUCCUCCUCUAGAUGAUUUAAGUGACUUGACUUGGCGCAUGUUCACGCAUGUAGUUGAAACAAAAUCAACAUAGCCUUCACGAUAUUUAUGUUCAUGAUGGAUUAUAUCCUACUCAUGCUUGCAUUUGGUGUUGAUUAAUUUUAAUGCAUGUUCAUGACUGUUGUCGCUCUCUAGCUGGUCGCUUCCCAGUCUUUUGCUAGCCUUCACCUGUACUAAGCGGGGAUACUGCUUGUGCAUCCAACUCCAUAAACCCCAAAGUUAUUCCAUAUGAGUCCACCAUACCUACCUAUAUACGGUAUCUACCUGCCGUUCCAAGUAAAUUUGUAUAUGCCAAACUCUAAACCUUCAAAUAAAUAUCCUGUUUUGUAUGCUUGAAUAGCUCACUUAUCAACUAGGGAUGUCCGUAUCUUCCAUGUUAGGCGGGUUAUUCUCAAGAGGAGUGGACUCCACUCCUCACUCACGAGAAAGUGGCUGGUCACCGGGAUGCCCAGUCCCAUGCUUUAUGCAAACUAAAUCAAAAUAAUUGCAAACAAAACUCCCCCUGGGACUCUUGUUAGUUGGAGGCACUCGUUGUUUCGAGCAAGCCAUGGAUUUAUGCUUGUUGGUGGAAGGGGGAGUAUAAACUUUACCAUUCUGUUUGGGAACCGCCUAUAAUGUGUGUAGCAUGGAAGAUAUCGCCAUCUCUUGGUUGUUAUGUUGACAAUGAAAGUAUAUCGCUCAAAAUAUUAUUCACCUCUAUUUCAAAACUGAGCUCUGGCACCUCUACAAAUCCCUGCUUCCCUCUGCGAAGGGCCUAUCUAUUUAUUUUAUGCUGAGUCAUCAUCCUCUUAUUAAAAAGCACCAGUUGGAGAGCACUGCUGUCAUUUGCAUUCAUUAUUGUUAGUUUACAUUGAGUAUGACUUGACUGGAUCUAUUUUACCAUGAAUUACAAUGUCUAGUCGGUCCUUGAUCUUUAAAGGUGCCCUGCAUUUAUGUUUUGCAGUCUCAGAAAGGGCUAGCGAGAUGCCAUCUUGUUAUAUCAUAUUAUGAUUGUUUUGAGAAAGUGUUGUCAUCCGAGAUUUAUUAUUAUUGCUCGCUAGUUGAUUAUGCCAUUGAUAUGAGUAAACUUGAAACCUAAGCGUUAUUGUGAAUGUGGUUAGUUAUAAUCUUUGCUGAAAAAUUGAAUGCUAACUUUACAUAUUUACAACAACAAGAGCAAACAGAGUUUGUAAAAGUUUUUCUUUAUCACUUUCAGUUUGUCAACUGAAUUGCUUGAGGACAAGCAAAGGUUUAAGCUUGGGGGAGUUGAUACGUUUCCGUCGUAUCUACUUUUCCAAACACUUUUGCCCUUGUUUUGGACUCUAACUUGCAUGAUUUGAAUGGAACUAACCCGGACUGACGCUGUUUUCAGCAGAAUUACCAUGGUGUUAUUUAUGUGCAGAAACAAAAGUUCUCGGAAUGACCUGAAACUUCACGGAACACCUUUUCGGAAAAUAUAAAAAAUCCUUGCAAAAGAUGAAGGCCAGGGGCCCACCACCUGUCCACGAGGGUGGGGGGCGUGCCUGCCCCCCUAGGGUGCGCCCCCUACCUCAUGGGCCCCCUAGAGCUCCUCUGACCUCAAGUCCAACUCUAUAUAUUUGGUUUCGAGGAGAAAAAAAAUCAGAGAGAAGAAAUCAUCGCGUUUUACGAUACGAAGCCGCCGCCAAGCCCUAAAACCUCUCAGGAGGGCUGAUCUGGAGUCCGUUCGGGGCUCCGGAGAGGGGAAUCCGUCGCCAUCGUCAUCAUCAAUCAUCCUCCAUCACCAAUUUCAUGAUGCUCACCGCCGUGCGUGAGUAAUUCCAUCGUAGGCUUUCUAGACGGUGAUGGGUUGGAUGGGAUCUAUCAUGUAAUCGAGUUAGUUUUGUUAGGGUUUGAUCCCUAGUAUCCACUAUGUUCUGAGAUUGAUGUUGCUAUGACUUUGCUAUGCUUAAUGCUUGUCACUAGGGCCCGAGUGCCAUAAUUUCAGAUCUGAACCUAUUAUGUUUUCAUCAAUAUAUGAGAGUUCUUGAUCCUAUCUUCCAAGUCUAUAGUCACCUAUUAUGUGUUAUGAUCCGUUAACCCCGAAGUGACAAUAAUCAGGAUACUUACCGGUGAUGAUCGUAGUUUGAGGAGUUCAUGUAUUCACUAUGUGUUAAUGCUUUGUUCCGGUACUCUAUUAAAAGGAUGCCUUAAUAUCCCUCAGUUUCCGUAAGGACCCCGCUGGCACGGGAGGGUAGGACAAAAGAUGUCAUGCAAGUUCUUUUCCAUAAGCACGUAUGACUAUAUUUGGAAUACAUGCCUACAUUAUAUCAAUGAACUGGAGCUAGUUCUAUGUCACCCUAGGUUAUGACUGUUACAUGAUGAACCGCAUCCGGCAUAAUUCUCCAUUACUGAUCCAUUACCUACGAGGUUUCCACAUAUUGUUCUUCGCUUAUUUACUUUUCUGUUGCUAUUGCUAUCAUCACUACAAAAUACCAAAAACAUUACUUUUGCUACCGUUACCUUUUGCUACCGCUACCACUACUAUCAUAUUACUUUGCUACUAAAUACUUUGCUGCAGAUAUUAAGUUUCUAGGUGUGGUUGAAUUGACAACUCAACUGCUAAUACUUGAGAAUAUUCUUUGGCUCCCCUUGUGUCGAAUCAGUAAAUUUGGGUUGAAUACUCUACCCUCGAAAACUGUUGUGAUCCCCUAUACUUGUGGGUUAUCACAUGUCGAUUUCAUUUCUUACAAUAAAGCGACAACCAUGUGGCUCCUGCCAGUUGCCGAUAAUUGUGUUACAAAACAUGGUCAUCUCAUACAACAAUUUAUAUAAUCAUGUCUUGACCAUAUCACAUCACAACAUGCCCUUCAAAAACAAGUUAGACGUCCUCUACUUUGUUGUUGCAAGUUUUACGUGGCUGCUACGGGCUUAGCAAGAACCGUUCUUACCUACGCAUCAAAAACCACAAUGGGGGUAUAGUGAUUGCUUUUUGAUCUUCAGAAAGAAUCCCGUUCAUUAAAUCCGAUUCAACUAAACUUGGAGAAACUGACACCCGUCAGCCACCUAUGUGCAAAACACGUCGGUAGAACCAGUCUCAUGAACGCGGUCAUGUAAUGUCGGUCCGGACCGCUUCAUCCAACAAUACCGCCAAAUCAAGAAACAACUAGUGACAACAAGCAAUAUGUAUAUACCCAUGCCUACAACUCCUUUGUGGUCUACUUGUGCAUAUAACAUCUACGCAUAGACCUGGCUCUGAUACCAAUGUUGGGGAACGCAAUAUUUCAAAAAAAUUCCUACGAUAACGCAAGAUCUAUCUAGGGAUGCAUAGUAACGAGAGGGGAGAGUGUGUCCACGUACCCUCGUAGACCGAAAGCGGAAGCGUUAAGUAAAGCGAUUGAUGUAGUCGAACGUCUUCGCGAUCCAACCGAUCAAGUACCGAACGCACGACACCUCCGCGAUCUACACACGUUCAACUCGAUGACGUCCCUCGAACUCUAGAUCCAGCUGAGGCCGAGGGAGAGUUUCGUCAGCACGACAACAUGUUGACGGUGAUGACGAAGUUACCGACGCAGGGCUUCGCCUAAGCACUAAGACAAUAUGAUCGAGGUGGAAAUCUGUGGAGGGGGGCACCGCACACGGCUAAGGUAACUUGUGUGUCUAUGGGGUGCCCCCUCCCCCGUAUAUAAAGGAGUGGAGUAGGGGGAGGGCCGGCCUCCUAGGGCGCGCCCCAAGGGGGGAUUCCUAAUCCUACUAGGAGUAGGUUUCCCCCCUUUCCUAGUCCAACUAGGAGGGGGAAGGAAGGGAAGAGGGAGAGAAGGAAAGGGGGGGAGGGGCGGCCCCCCAAACCCUAUCCCAAUUCAGGUUGGGCCUAGGGGGGGCAUGCACCACACAUGGCUGCGUCCUCCUCUCUUCCACCAUGGCCCAUCAAGGCCCAUUAACUCCCCGGGGGGUUCCGGUAACCCCCGGGUACUCCGGGAAAUACUCGAUACACCUCAGAACCAUUCCGGUGUCCGAAUAUAGUCAUCCAAUAUAUCAAUCUUCAUGUCUCGACCAUUUCGAGACUCCUCAUCAUUUCCAUGAUCUCAUACGGGACUCCGAACUACCUUCGGUACAUCAAAGCACAUAAACUCAUAAUACCGAUUGUCAUCGAACGUUAAGCGUGCGAACCCUAUGGGUUCGAGAACUAUGUAGACAUGACCGAGACUCAUCUCCAGUCAAUAACCAAUAGCGGAACCUGGAUGCUCAUAUUGGUUCCUACAUAUUCUAUGAAGAUCUUUAUCGGUCAAACCGUAUAACAACAUACGUUGUUCCCUUUGUCAUCGGUAUGUUACUUGCCCGAGAUUCGAUCAUCGGUAUCAUCAUACCUAGUUCAAUCUCGUUACCGGCAAGUCUCUUUACUCGUUCCGUAAUGCAUCAUCCCGCAACUAACUCAUUAGUCACAUUGCUUGCAAGGCUUAUAGUGAUGUGCAUUACCGAGAGGGCCCAGAGAUACCUCUCCGACAAUCGGAGUGACAAAUCCUAAUCAUGAUCUAUGCCAACUCAACAAACACCAUCAGAGACACCUGUAGAGCAUCUUUAUAAUCACCCAGUUACGUUGUGAUGUUUGAUAGCACACUAAGUGUUCCUCUGGUAUUCGGGAGUUGCAUAAUCUCAUAGUCAUAGGAACAUGUAUAAGUUAUGAAGAAAGCAAUAGCAAUAAACUAAACAAUCAUAGUGCUAAGCUAACGGAUGGGUCAAGUCAAUCACAUCAUUCUCUAAUUAUGUGAUCCCAUUCAUCAAAUGACAACUCAUGUCUAUGGCUAGGAAACUUAAUCAUCUUUGAAUAACGAGCUAGUCAAGUAGAGGCAUACUAGUGACAGUCUGUUUGUCUAUGUAUUCACACAUGUACUAAGUUUCCGGUUAAUAAAAUUCUAGCAUGAAUAAUAAACAUUUAUCAUGAUAUAAGGAAAUAUAAAUAACAACUUUAUUAUUGCCUCUAGGGCAUAUUUCUUCACAGUGCCAUACAACAUCGCGAGUCCAACCGUCAUCCUGUAGAACUUGCCUUUUAGCUUUUGUGGCACUCUCUUGUCACAAAGAAUGAGAGACACUUGGCGCCACUUCAUCCAUCCAGCUUUGAUUCGAUGGUUCACAUUUUCAUCAAUACCCCCAUCCUCCUGCAGCAUUGACCCCAAAUAUCCAAAGAUGUCCUUCCAAGGCACCACCUGCCCAUCAAGGCUAACCUCCUCCUCCUCACACCUAGUAGUACUGAAACCACACAUCAUGUACUCGGUUUUACUUCUAAUUAGCCUAAACCCUUUCGUUUCCAAGGUUUGUCUCCAUAACUCUAACAUCUUAUUUACCCCCGUCUGACUAUCAUCAACUAGCACCACAUCAUCCGCAAAGAGCAUACACCAUGGGAUAUCUCCUUGUAUAUCCCUUUUUGUGAUCUCAUCCAUCACCAAGGCAAAAAGAUAAGGGCUCAAAGUUAACCCUUGAUACAGUCCUAUCUUAAUCGGGAAGUCAUCAGUGUCGACAUCACUUGUUCGAACACUUGUCACAACAUUAUCGUACAUGUCCUUGAUGAGGGUAAUGCACUUUUCUGGGACUUUGUGUUUCUCCAAGGCCCACCACAUGACAUUCUGCGGUAUCUUAUCAUAGGCUUCCUCCAAGUCAAUGAACACCAUAUUCAAGUCCUUCUUUUGCUCCCUGUAUCUCUUCAUAAGUUGUCGUACCAAGAAAAUGGUUUCCAUGGUCGACCUCCCAGGCAUGAAGCCAAACUGACCUUUGGUCACGCUUGUCAUUCUUCUAGGCAUAGUUUCAAGUAUUGUAAUAAAAAUGAGGGAGAUCAUCCAUGCUCAUCUCAUAAUCCCUUCUUUCAGCAUCAAGGUUCCUUUGGGUUAAGCAAAAGUAAUCAAAAGGGCUAAAUUUAAUAGGGCAAGGAUCCGUAAGAUCAAGUUUAGGAGGAGGAGGUUCCUCUUUUGGCCCCUUAUAAGUGAUGACAAUUUCUUCGUCUUCAUAUCCUAUAUAAUAUUUCACUUCUUCAAAUACUUGCAAAAAUUCCUACCAUUUUAUAUCAAUAAUCAACUGGCACAACAACGCGUGCCGACAUGAUCAGUUAGCUAUAUAAGCAACAUUGUUUAGGCUGGGCCAAUUGUUACUCACGAGAACACUAACUUAUUAGCCUAAAUUACAAAAGUAUAACAUAGACUUACGUGAUGGGAAAUCAUUCUGUUCAAUCGACCGAUCAUGCGGAGCGUUCUGCCACCCACGCAGCCGCUGGAUCUCAUCUGAUCCAACCACACGUUCACAUCAGUUUUUGCAUCUGCUGCGCGCCUACGCCACAGGGUGAUGUUUAUGCAAUAAGACCUAUGUUGCAAAAACAAAUCUGCAACAAUACUUCUGUUACAAAAGAAUCAAUAAAUAGACUUAUGUUAUAAAAAAUCCUCUAAAAAUUUCUGCAACACGACCACUAUUGCAAAAAGAAAACUACAAUGCAACCUUUGUUGUACAUAUUUUUGCAAUAAGACAUGUGUUGCAAAAGGGUUCUCGCAACACGAGUUCUGUUGCAAAAGUGAGGACGAUGCUCGGUCACAAGAUCCUGUAGGAUUCGACGGCUCCGUACCCAACGGAUUUUUAAAAACAUCCACCGGCCGACGCGUAGCAGGCCGCUUACAUAAUGGCCCAUGAUUACAAAUUCCAUGGCCCAACUAUGGUUUAGCUGGUUUGCUACAAUUCAAUACCUUAUACGCUCUAGUUUCCUUUCCUAAAUAUUAUUUCUUUAACCUAAUUUUCUGCGGCCGCCACCUUCCCGGGCGGCCUCAACCCCCCAACCCCGUCUUCCGUGGUAUAUAUAUAUCUCUACCAUCUUGAGAUUCUUGGCACUUCUGCAUCGCAAAUGACCCAUGUCCUUCAUAGGCUUCUGCUAACCUAAUUAUUUACGGCCGCCACAACCUCCAAUUGACCCCAUCCACCCAAGCCAUAUCCUGUAAUAUACACUGUUCAGCUUGAGAUUAUUUUCAAUAGAUAUCUAGCCCAUGGCACCUCUACAAUGCCAUAACUCAUAUCAUUCGGAGGCAUUGCACCUCCAUUCCAAAUAUCAUUCUAGAAUUUGGCACCAUCCAUGAUAACCUCCAGUUGAAAUCUCGAUAUAGGUCAUAUCGUUGCCCUUGUUUCACCAAUUGUUCUUUCAAUCAAUCAUUAUACUCUCUAAUUCAAGUAGCAUGGGUGAUGGCAUGUCUCGCAGCAAGAUCAAAGAUCUAGAAAGAAUGAGCUGAGAUCCAGAAAGAAAGAAGCCACCGGGCCCUUUGGAAUUGGUUCUUGAUGAACACCAUGGAGAGGAUUUGAUGAUGUAAGUCUUAAUUUUUCUGAAAGUUAUCUAUUGCUGUCGAUCCCUUGUUACCUCACCUAGAUAGUACAUUUAGAUUAUUGUAUCGGCAAAAGGCACAAUGAUCGGAACCGACCCUAGAGAAAACCUCUGGCUGGGCUAAUCCUCUCCUUGGGCCCAGGCUUAUAUACUUUUGAAUUUAUAGUGAAUUAUAGAUAUACACAUCUUUGGGUUUGUUUUCCUAGGCCUAGAGUGAAGACCUGCGAGUCGUGGGUUAAGAUUCGUACUUGCGCGAGACCACUCAUGCGAUGCUCGGGAGAUGCAAAAUAUUUGAUAACCAAGACCGAGCCAUCAACAGAGCCCGCCCAAGGCUAGGCCGACUCUUGUUGGACUUAAGCUUAUAUACUCUAGAGAGUUCUCUUUGUCAAAAUUUAUUUGUAUACCCGUGUUUCAAAUUCAUGUAAGCGUCACUAAUGAAUAUAUACUUUAUUAGAACUCCUAUAGAACAUUACUAUUGUAGAAACAUCUAUUUUGUGUGUUUGCAAUAGGGCCCCUUGUGUACAUACAUAAAAAAAGGAUCAUGAUAAGUGUCACACGUGUGCAGGGGCGGACGCAGGAUUUGACCAAGCCUAGGGCCCUAGGCUGCUACAGUGGAGCUACGGUGCUGCUACAGUGAACAAUANNNNNNNNNNNNNNNNNNNNNNNNNNNNNNNNNNNNNNNNNNNNNNNNNNNNNNNNNNNNNNNNNNNNNNNNNNNNNNNNNNNNNNNNNNNNNNNNNNNNNNNNNNNNNNNNNNNNNNNNNNNNNNNNNNNNNNNNNNNNNNNNNNNNNNNNNNNNNNNNNNNNNNNNNNNNNNNNNNNNNNNNNNNNNNNNNNNNNNNNNNNNNNNNNNNNNNNNNNNNNNNNNNNCACUUGUGGCACGAAGCAAUUCCGUCUUAACGUUUUUUGAUGGCAACUUUAGUUACCCGGAGAUGGCAACUUUUUGUUUGGAUGGCAAGUUUCAAUUUUUUUUUGGAUUUCAUUUUUUGGAUGAUAAUUUUAGUUGUAAAAACAUCAGGGUGGUGUUACUUCGUGCCACACGUGUGACACUUAUCAUUUGAGUAAAAAAUAUUACAUUUUUAAACAAAUUAAACCUCAAUUUAUCCAUACAAAAUAAAAGCAAUUAACUCUUGGACGGAACACAUAUUUUUUAGGAAAGAAACGCAACACAUAACACAUAUAUAAUUUGGUCCAAUUGAUGCACGCAUAUAUACGGAAUGCAGUUAAAGACGCCGAAUUAGUUAAGGAAACUUGAUCUGGCUAAUCGAUGGAAUUAGCUAACAUAUUAAUGCUGAGUCUGGAGUACACUGGAUGCAAUAUACUACGAUGAAUGCAGUUAAACAAAUUCGAAGUACGUCUGGUUUUCCUGCCAUAAUUAAACAAAUAAUUAAUUGCCGCAAUCUAUUUGAUCUCGAGAUGAACUACCACCCGCACAUUGUCGAUUGCAAAUUACACAAGGAAUUAAUUUUAAUCCCGUUGUGGUGAUCGGGAAAGAUAUGCUAUAGACGCCAUAAUCGGCAAGCUUUGACGCCACCGUAUCUCUGCUCUGUAUGCAUGUAAGCAAAACAGCGGCGGCAAGUAGAAACUUCUUUCCAGAAACAUGAAGAUACUUUGAUAUAUGCAUGGGUGGCUCAUUUAAAUAUUUAUUUAAUCACAAAAGAUACGCCAGCCAACACAAUAUUUGAUUUUUUUCUGGUGGAAUUAGAAAGCGGUGCAAGCUCGAUAUUUGCAUGUGUGAAGCAGCACCUGAUUACAAAUGGACGGUGGAGAUCGACCGGCAACCCCUAUAAAUACCCCUGUACCUUGGCCAGGUACAAGGCGCACACCACCACCAAAGCCUCAAGCUGCAAGCAACAGAGCUAGCUAGAUACAUCCUCCACCAUAAAACUAGCUCUAAGGUUCAAAGCUACUCUCCUUCCUCUGUUUCUGCCUUUUUCAUUUUUCUCUGGAUUGCCAUGCAUCUUCUACUAGUUGCAUGCGCGCACGAUUGAUCAAGAUUUGCUAGAGGCGAUAUACAUGUGAAACUAGUGCACCUUGAUAGGUUUUGAUCUAUGCAGCACAGUUUUUGGUUGUUGUUGGCAGCUAUGUAUAUGCAUCCAUUUUUGCCAUUUCCUUUCUUGCAUUCUUCGCUUUUUCGUGCUGUUUUCGGUGCUACGUACAUGUGGCAAAAAGAAAACAUGGAAAUUAUCCAUCCAUGUCCAUGUACUGUGCAGCUCUCUGUUACAUGCUGUUGCCAUCCAAAGUACACCAUAGGCUCACAUAAGCUAUGUUCUUUUGUUCCUUUUCUUUUUCCAUUUUCCUUUUCCAAAGUAUCUAUGUCUUUCCUUUUUCUCUUAUUCUUGAUGUUUCUUUUGUCCUCAUAGGCUCACAUAUGCAAUCUACAAUUUUCUUUUUUCUUGUCCCAUCAUUUCAUAAAUUACUAGAUACCAAUUAAGAAAGUGUUCUUGUUGCACUGGUGGUUGUUAGCAGAAGCCAUGAAUAUGGAUCUAACAUGAUGUUGCAGAUUUUUUUUUCUGUGUGGAGAAAUUAUCCAUCCAUGUGUGGAACAAUCUCUGCCAUUGUUGUCAUCGAUCCAAAUUAAUUCUUUGUGAUUUUUUUUCAUGUUCUUUUAUUCUCAUAUGUAAUCUAGGUGAAAAAUCACCAUCUCUUCCCCUCAUAAAGGAUUCAAUAAACUAGUAAAUAGAAAUAAUUUAAAAAGUGUACAGACCUCUGAUCUCCGCUUAAUCUGCAUGCAUGCAUGAUUUUGCAAAACAAAUCUUUUACUAUAUAUCAUCUGAGAUCAAUGAAACGUGUGGAUCAGAAACAACUAAUCUCUUUAUAAAUUAUGUUUUUUUUGCAGUUCUUUUAGCUAGCUGAUCAUGGCAUCCUCCCUCAAGGCAUUGCUUGUUGAUGAUAUGUCAGUUGAACGCAUGGUUGUCUCCUCCAUGCUGCGCAAGUUCCACUGCGAGAUCAUCCUGGCGAAGAAUGGGAAAGAAGCUGUUGAUAUGUUUCUUGAGGGCAACGAGUUUGAUAUUGUUGUGUGUGAUAAGGACAUGCCCAUAAUGACCGGUCCCGAGGUACGUACUUUAGCUAACUUUUUUGCUUUGACGUAACACAUAUUGGAUGGUCACCUCAUCGACACAAUAUUUCUUGUACAUGUGCUUAACAGGCCAUUGUGAAGAUCCGUGCUAUGGGAGCCACUGAUGUGAAGAUCGUCGGGGUGUCCGCUGAUGAUAACGCCAUGGAGGCGUUCAUGGGCGCCGGUGCUGAUGACUUUGUGCCCAAACCAGUGAGGCCUGAGAUUCUGCAGCCUAUGGUUCAGGAGGUCAUCAACAAGAAGAAGAAUUAACGAUGGUCUACGGCAAUCUUGCUUGCUUGAUCCAGCCAUCAAGAAAAUGCUAAAUGUUCUGCUAGCUCAUGUCCGCACUAUAUUAUAAUUGUGGUAUUAUCUUUAGUUUCGAGGUCAUGUUAAAGGUCGGACGCCAUUAGCAAGAAGAACAACAGAGUCUGCCAACAAUUAUAUGCAUGGGAUUGAUGUAAUCUGUAGC
Molecule: long non-coding RNA, 73382 nt
Filed under: Triticum aestivum (bread wheat)
Lineage: Eukaryota; Viridiplantae; Streptophyta; Magnoliopsida; Poales; Poaceae
Description: long non-coding RNA (TAES_LNC028100)
Source: RNAcentral